UUUUUUUUUUUUUGGGCUUAGAUAUUGUAUAGGACACUAGCUAGGCAUAUUUCUUUUUCUCUUUCAAAUAAAUAUGUUUUAAUUUAAUUACCUUCAUAGAAGAGUUGCGGAAGGAAACAGAAUAUGAAUCUCUGAUUGAGAAAAGUUGGAAGAGUCUUGGAAAGAUUUAGCAUUUUUUUUAGUUAGUUUCUUUUUUUUUGAGAUAUCAAUUGUCUUAAAAUAAUAUCUUACUACAAUUUGAAUGCCCUUUGGAGUAGAGCUAAUUAAUUUAAUGCCUUUUGUUGUAUCAUUUUUUCCAAGGACUUUAGAUUCUAUUUCUGCCACUUUCCGUUGUGAGAUUAUUUAGCUCUCAGUAUAAAACAAAACAGGCCGUGGGUUUCACUUCUAGAAUUCUCCAUGGCGGAUAAAUAUGAUUUUGAACUAAGAACAGGGUACACCCAGUCGAUGUCAAUGGUAGGUAGAAAAUCUGCAUCAUCCUUGAACACAUCCCUUGUGACAAGUUAAGGAGCUAAAAACAAAACGAGGGAGAUUAAAUUAACCACAAGGUUGCUUUUGAUACUUGAUAGAAAAAGGCAUGAGCCGGCUAAUUUGAAAUACUUGAGGAAGCUGCUGUGGACUUACGGGGAAAGCCAAUUAGUACACAAUAAUACACCAUUUUUUAGAGAUGGAAAUCUGCAAGUGGAGUUCGGUAAGACACUGCGGUUGUAAUUGUGGGUUCCAGGCAUCAAAAUAAUGCAACAUAGAUUAUUCAAGAAUAUAUAAGGUGAUUGGUAAGAAAACUUUUUAUACAACUGCAGGAGCUAGAAGAUGACAAUGUGGUGCAGCUAGCAUAAGGUAUGCAGCAAUUGUAGUUUAGUGCAGAUUAGGUGUCAGAUGUGAGUGAAAGUAAUUUAGUGCUUCUGGGCUCAUUCCAAUAUGAUUAUGGUUAAAUGCCACUAACGGAGCAUGUGUUUGAAUGUGACCGCGAGAUUUUUUAUUUAGAUAAAAUAUAGAAAAGCCCCUUAAGGUUAAGUGAAUAUACAAAAAAGUCAUCUAUAGUUUCAAAACAUACACUCCGAUAUCUCACGGUCUGAACUAAUUUAAAAAGCAACGGAAAUCGUCAGAAUUAAUGGGUUUGAAAUACAAGCGCUUCUUUUGCAAGUAUUUGUAUUAGAAAUAAAUAAAUUUUUAAUUGAUAUACCUAUUGCACCCUUAGAGUUAUAAUACAGAAAAAUUCCCUGUGGUUAAGCAAAUCUAUAGAACAAGUCCCUUAUAAUUUCAAAUCAUAUAAUCCAGUACCUCGUGGUUUAAACUAAUAUGAAAAAUCGACAAAAAUCACUUAAGUUAAAGAGUUUGAGGUAUCUUGACAUGGAAAAUAAUUUUUUAAAUCAAAAUUUUUAGCUAAUAUACCUAUUAAACCCCUUAGAACUCAUAAAAUUUUCAAAAACAAUCCAAAACUGCCAAAUACAACUCACCUUAUUCUAUACAUAAAUAAAUAAACAAAAGUUUCCCAAUAAAACUCACCUUGUUUCUAUACACAAAAUAAAUAAACAAAAACUUUCAAAUACAACUUACCUUAUUCCUAUGCACAAAAUAAAUAAAUAAAAGUAAAAUAUAACCAUAGAGGGCUUUUCCGUAGGUUGGCUUAAUCACAAGGGAUUUUUCCAUAAGUUUGCUUAAUAGGAUGGUUUUUAGAAGGUCUUUUAUUGCUUAUAUAUGUUAGGCAACUCGCUUGCAUCAACCCAACAAAGAAUAUCAUCCAAAUUACAUUGUUUAAGAUAUUUGUCUACUGUUAAAACCCAACCAAAAUAUAUAUGUCUAUUUGUGCUUAUAGGAGUCAAUAUGGCAAAAUUGUCACCAUCAAUCAGAUAUCUCUCUAAUAUUCUGUCAUUAUUUAACAAUUCAUAUACUUGAAUAAAUUUUUCUCUCUCUUCUGUCAAGUUUUUCUGGCUUUCUUGGUUGAUUGACCAAUCAAAUCCUUCAAUCUGACAACCCGUAGCUAGGGGUGGGCGUGGGUCGGGUACCCGUUCCAUUCACCAUUUGGCUGACUCGACCCGCACCUUGCCGGUCAGCCAUUUUUUGAUCCUUACCCACCCCGUAUAUCAACGAGUACCCUAUAAUCGGGUACCCGCUGAGAUAGGGUCGGGUCAACGGGUACCCGUCCCGUCCCAUUUAUCAUUUAAUUUAAAAAAAAUGAUUUAUACCAAUUUAAUUUUAUAUUUUACACAUUCAUCUAAGAUUUGACAAAUGUUUUUUUUCUAAUAAAAGGUUUCCCACCAAGAAACAAGCAUGUGAAGAAAAUAUAAGAUAAAGGAAAAAAAUUAAAAGAAUUUGAAAUCAAUAAAAGUUUGAAAUAAGUAGCACAAUUUUUAAUAAAUAUGUUCCACAUUAAUUAAACUUUUUUCUAUAAAAUCUAAUGGCCUCUACAAAUGAAUCUUGUAAAUAAACUAUAGUCUCUUAUAUUUGUAAUGCAAUUUGUUCAAUAAAAUUACUUAUUUAGUUCUUAUUAUUUUAUAGUGUGUGUAUAAAAAUAAAAAUAAAGUAAAUAUAUAUAUGCGGGGUGGAUCGGGUACCCGCAGGUUUUUAAUUAUAUGACCUUAACCCGCCCCACAUCUUAGCGGGUACCCGACCCUCUUUUGACCCGAUCAAAUAAUAAAAAUCGGAUAUCCUAAUUUUCGGAUCAGAUCGGAUAUGACGGGUUUUCGGGUUAGCGGAUAAUUUUGCCCACCCCUACCCGUAGCAAUCAACAAAUUUGGCAAGAUUCCUCUCCGAUCUCUAUUUUCACACUCGUAACAAUCUAACAAUUUUCGGACCAAUCUUAUGACCAAAUCCUUCACCAACUACACAUUUCAUAGCCAAAUUUAUGGUCUAAUUCGAUUAACUAAAUAUUUUUCGACAACUUUAUAUCCUAAUUCUCUCACAGUAGAAAUACCCAAGACUAACCUCAUAAUAGAGGUGGCAAAUCAACCCAUUUAACUAGAUUUACCCAUACCCGCCCAUGAAUAGAUGGGUAUGGGUAUCUUAAAUUUUUGUAUAUGGGUAUAAAUGGGUUACCCAAUAAUACCCAUUUAUUAAAUGGGUAUUAUUGGGUAACCCAUCAAACCCAAUUAACCCAUUUAAAAUUCUCUUCCCCCCAAGUCUCUUCUUUUCCCCUACCUUUUUUUUUCAAAUUUUUCAUUUUGUCAUGAUGUUAACAUUAUUAGUAUUAUUAUUAUUAUUUGUUGGUUUUAUCUUAUUAUUUUAUUUUUUCUUAGUUUGUUAACUUGCUCAUUUUUUAGCAUUACCAAUUUAUGAUAAAUUUUAGCCUAUUUUCUUAUCUUUAUAAAAUGAAAAUUUAAAUUUAUAUAUGAAAAAAAUGUUAGGGGUUCAAAAUUUUUGGAUUAAGUUUUUAUAUUAAUUUUUAUAGUACUUAAUUCAAAUUUUUAUAUUCGUAUUAUUCAAUUAUUAAAUAAUAAGUAAUUUUGUGACAUAGAGUAUAAAUGAAAAAAAUUGGUAAUUAAGUUUAUUGAACAUUAUAAGUAAAUAUUUAAAACUAAUGAUGGGUACAAAGAGUGGUAUAAAUUGAUAACUUAGUUUGCAAAAAUGAAUUUAAAUGAGUUUGCAAAAAGUUAAAAUAAAUGAGUUAUAAAUGGGUAAUUGGGUUACCCAAUUCAUUUUUUGACUUACCCAUUUAUACCCAUCUAAUUAAAUGGGUAUAAAUGAGUUGACUCACUUAUACCCAUUACCCAUUUUACCCAACCCAAACCCACCCAAGUCACCCAUUUUGACACCUCUACCUCAUAAUCUAGCUCUAAUACCAAUUGUAGAACCCAAAAUUUUAGGAUUCUAAUAAUAAUUAAUAUGUGCAAGGUUAUAGAAUUGAAGGGACAAAACAAACACUCAAAAUAUAUGUGGGAGAGAAGAAAAUAAUAAACUCACAAUAUUAUUGAAAUUUCAAACAAUGAAGAAAGUUACACCAUAAUAGAAAACGUGACAAACUCUACUAGAUUCUCUCUAGAAAACACCCUAAAUAACGUCCUAUUUAUAAUUUACCAAAUUUGUUUGGAAAGAAACCACUUGCAUGAGAAAUUACCAAAUAAAACAUAAAUUUCUAAAUUGCACAACUAUUAAAAUCUAACUCCAAUAAAACUAAUAAAUAAACACUUUUAGAUUUGGUUUAGUUUGCCAACACUUUUCUUCAUUAGAAAUUCCCAAACAAGUUAACGAUAAAAAUGUUAGGAAGAAUUAAGGACACAGGAAAUAUUGAAGAAAUUAAGACUCUGCAAAUUCAAUACGUGGAAAUCCAUAGAAAAAUUUUUUGGAAGAUGCAAAAGCAUUAGUAAACCAAAGAAAAUUUUUUGUGAUUAUGUGUUACAAUCUUAUAAUUUCCAGAGAGAGUUGCAGUUUUAGUCUCUAAUGUUUGGUCUAUCUGCUAAAUUGGUCAGUGACCCAUCUUAAAGUGAUAAUCCAUCUUUUUGAAUAAACAAUUCAAAAGUGAAUUAAAGAAUGAUUAAAGGUAAAGGGUUGCUGCUUAAGCUUCUCAAUCAUAGCAUGCAGCGAUUGGCAUUUGAGGUGGGCAUAAGGUGUAAACUGACGAGGGAAGUUAACAAAUAUUCGUAGAUCCUAUGCAGACUCCAUCGUUGUACAUAUAAACAAAUCUUAAUUCUGAAAUAAAACAAAUAUGAUUUAAUGGAAAAAUAUUGUGAGGAUUUACAUCAUUUUACAUUUUAUACUUGAGGCACAUGUCGUGACGAGAAAUAAUAGAUUCAUUCUAUUCCUUUGUGCUUCAGUAUGUACACUUUGUAUAGUUUUUUUGGCCGUUAUCCAUGCAUUGUUAAGGUAUACCAUAUCAAUAUAACUUACCAUUUUGAAAAGAAAACAAUAUAAAACAAAUAUGACAAAGAAAUUCAAUUUAAUUCUAUGAUGUUUUACUAGUCACCUACGUCUGCGAUUUGAGUCAUCGAUGAAUAGAUGGAAUACCCCACGCUUGAUCUUUUUUGAAAGGAAAAGAAUAAAAGCAAAAUAAAGAAGGUAAAAUAAUUAUUAAAUAUUUAAUAAGACUUUCUGGCUUGCAUCCACAAGGCACUUGUGUCCAAAAAUAUCCACACACAAUUCCUAGGUACCAAGUGUGAUAAGUAACGCGUUUUUGUAGGAACAAGCUGAGAGUCUGAGGCCCCCGGGGCAGCUGAGAGUCAGACAGUUUUCGUAGUUUCCUCUUUAGGAGCAGGUCUUAAAUUCGAUUUCCGGGAGCUACUGUGCUGUGAUCCUUGGGGCAGGACUCUCACAGUUUGGAAAGAGUAGUUUGGCCCGUUCAGGUAAUUUUGGUCAGGUCAGGAUACUUCUCAGUCGAAAAAAAAAGAAGCUAAGAGUCUGAGACCCCUUACGAGGAAAUGGAUGCCUUUUGACUGUGGUUUAUUUUGAAGUUAUGAAAAAUAAAAAAGCUACAGCUUUCUGAGAUAUUCUACGAUUGCAACAGUGAAGUCUCACCAAACUACUCCACCACAUGCAGAUUUCCAUACCUAGAAAAUGGUGGAUUAUUGUGUACUAAUUAUCUGUUGAAGUGGAAAUGUGCAAAGGUUUUGGAAUCAAGUAUAUUGGACUGUUUUCCCUAUUGUCUUUUCGAUACGUGUUCGCUUGGAAAUUUCUUAUUCUCAUGCUUUAUCCCCACCGCCACAUGAGAAAAGAUGUUAACAGUAAAGGAUGUCCAAAAAAUGAAAGAAAAGCGGAAUGUAGCAUAUAAAAUGAAAAUGGCUUUCUUACUCUUAAUUUAAGAUACGAGACAAAUAAAUAAGUACACAUUAAAUCCCUAUUUAAAAAAUAAUUAAUUACAAAAUCCAAAGAAUAAGUGUAUCAUAUUUAUUUAGAUUUACAUGUUUGGAUUGCAAAUUUUUCCAAAAAAAAUUGUUACUUUUUCCGUGAUCACAUUUUUCAAUCACCUUUCUACCUUACAUAUGUCAAAUCGUUUUCAGAAAAUAGUAAUCCAAACGAGAUUGAAUUUGAAACUCGUAGUAUAAAACCUAUUUACCAAAUAUCCCUUAAACUUUAAACAGUUUUUUUCUCUUGAAGGAUAAAACUUUAAAUAGUUAAUGCAAGAAACAUUUGGGGUCUAUCGUGUUGGUAAAUUCAAAUGUGAGGCAAAAAGUGGAGCUGUGUGGAAUGGAUCCUUGUAUACCGUCUAAUAUCUUGCAAUAAUUGAGCAAAAGUUGUGGAAUACAUAAAAAGAUGUAAAGUAAAUCGUAAAAAGCUGUUAAUCAAGCUCAAAGAGUCAAGGCCCAGUAGGAGUAGUACCAAGGAAGCAAUCCCUUUCUCCUAAGUAAAAAAAUAUAUAUAUCCUUUCUCAAUCCAUAUUCCAGAAUCGAAUAAUCAUCCUUUAUUUAUUCACUAUUAUAUAUGUUCAAUACUUAUAGGGGGCGCUUGGUUCAAGUUUAGGAAUUGGAAUUGUAAUUGGAAUCAUACAAACAAACUUAGUAUGGGUUUUGGACAAAGAUAUGAUUACAAAUGAGGUGUUUGGUAAAUAUUGGUAAGGAAUGGGUAUCAAAUUUAAUAAUCAAUUUUUUACCUUUAAUUUCGUUUUUCUUUUCAUAUCUUUCUUCUUCCUCGUUCAAAUGCUUAUCCCACAUACCCAUCCACCAUAUAUAUAUAUAUAUAUAUAUAUAUAUAUAUAUAUAUAAUAUAUAUAUAUUCAUAUAUAAAUGUAAAUAUUUUGUUUAAAAUAUAUUUAUAAAUAUAUUUAUAUAAAUUUAUAAAUAUAUUUAUUUCAAUUUUGUUUUAUAAUAUGUAAAUUAAUAUAUAUUAAUAUGUAUAUUUCAAUUAUGUAUAUUAAUAUGUAUAUUAUAUAUAUUAUAUCAAUUGAAAUAAAUAUUAUAUAUUUAUAUAUAAAUAUUUUUGUUUAAAAUAUAUUUAUAUAAAUAUAUAAAUAUAUUUAUUUCAAUUUUGUUUUAUAAUAUGUAUAUUAAUAUGUAUAUUUCAAUUUGUAUAUUUCAAUUAAUAUUUAUAUUUUAUUAUAUAUAAAUUAUAUUAAUAUUUAUAUUUAUAUUUCAAUUAUGUAUAUUAAUAUUAAUAUGUAUAUAAAAUGUAUAUUAAUAUAUGUUAAUAUAUAUUUAUAUAUUGAUAGGGUAUAAUUUGUUAGUAAUUUUAUUAUUAAUUUCCCCUUCUAUCCAGGACAAAUAUUGUGUUAAUUGUUGAUAUUCACUCAUAUUUGGUAUUUGGACCCAAUUCCAGGAGUGGAGCAGAUAAGUACAAAAAGAGGGACUUUUGGAUGCAAAUUUGGGAGACUUUGGCAGAGAGAACUUGAAGGCUUGGGCCUUUGACUUCGGUGGGGACCACGGAGGAAAGGACAAAAAAGGCUUUGGUCCUUUGGUUCUUGAAAAAAAAGCAACGUACAAAAGCCUAAGAGGACUAAGAAGAAAGGCGGUAGCUUGUGACCAAUCAGUGGGGACCGCUGGAUAUCUUUCUUUUGUUUCUUUUUAAAGGCAACUAACGUACGGAGGCAGGGGACCGUUUUUUAGUUCAGCUUCUUAGCCUAGUCUUUAGUUUUUAGUUUUUCUUUCUUUUUUCCUUUGACUGGCCUCUGACACACGCCAGGUGUUCGACAAAAUUCCCCAACGGGAAAAACAUCCUUCAUUCCUUACUUUUUAGCCAAAAACAAUGCCUUCGCAAUUUAUUAAUUCGUGUGGUGACUUAAUUAUGCGGCGUGGCUAAAUCUUCCAUCUAGUCAAGGGUCAACUCGACGGCGCAGUCCCGAAAAUCUGUGAGAUUUAAUUAGUUUUCACGCGUUCCUUAAUUUAUUCAUAUUUGCACGUUGCCUGCUUGUAUUUUCAUGAGAUUAUUUUAUUAAUUGGAUGUCAAGGGCCCGAUGUUCAAUGUGAUUUAUUAAUCUCGUGCCAAUUUAGUCAAUUAAAUCCGUAAUUGUUUGUUUGAUUAAUAUUAGUGGCAACUGGUGUGUUUACACAUUAGGAGAACGUGCGAUCUAAUUUAAAUAACCCUCGUAGCGUGUUAUUGGUUAGGGCUAGGUUUUUCUAAUAUUAAUGCAAUUGGGAAAUUAAUUCCUAUGGUCGUACCUAGGAGUAUUUGCUGAUUAGGGGUAAUCAACGGUCGUACCUUGGUUAUCAAUAAUUUAAGGAAAAAUUGGUCAUCAGACUAUAACUAGCCUAUUAAUGAAUUAAGUGAACCUCUCCUGCAUCAAUGAUCGGAUAAGUGGACUGUGCCUGAGUAGUUGCAUCCUUGGCUAGAAUUUAUUUAUUCCUGAUUAAAUUCCUGCUAUAUUUGUGCUAGUGAUUUAUUCAUUUUUAAUUAAAUUGUCUAAUUAUUUUUAGUUUCAUUCCGAUAAAAUCCCCCCUUAUCAAUUGGACUUUAAAAAAGAGACAAACAUCUCCAGUCCCUGAGGAGACGACCCUACUUGCCACUGUCUACUAUUCAUUAAUUUUUGUCAAUUAAUUAAUACUGGUAUAUCGGAUUAAGUAAACUCUUCGGGAACAGGGUGAAUCAAGUAACCCAUUGCACACCUAGAGUCCCUGCUCCAGUACCUAGGAUUAAUUAUUGACUGCUUUUAGUGGUAGCUAGGUUCUAUAUUUAUUACUAUUAUUGCACAGGCCGACGACCUGUCAAUUUUUGGCGCCGUUGCCGGGGACUGGCGUUAUUGUUUGUUUCCCUUUUAAAUUCAUUUUGUGUCCUAAUUUUCUGGUUUUCUUCUAGUGUAUGCCUCGAUCUUCUCGCACAGGUGAUUUGGUUUUUGACCCUGAGGUAGAGAAGACCGCGCGUAGAACGAGAAAGGAGACCAGACAACUCAGAGAGGAGCACUACAGUGCUGCAUCUGAGAGUUCUGAACCAGGAGUUGACCCAACAGAUUCGUUUGGCGACACUUCAAGUGACUCUGACCAGGAGGAAGGAACAAUGGCUAAUGCACAGACAUUAAGGGAGUUGGCUGCUCCUGAUUUAACUCAGCAACCUUUAUGCAUUACUUUCCCUGCUUUAAAUGACAAUAUUCCAUUUGAACUAAAAUCUGGUCUGAUCCAGCUUUUACCCUCUUUUCAUGGUUUACCAGGUGAAGAGCCGUAUAAGCAUCUGCAGGAGUUUGAUGUCGUGUGCAAUAGUAUGAAACUCCCGGGAAUCACAGAGGAGCAGAUAAAAAUGAGGGCAUUCCCCUUCUCCUUGAAAGAUUCUGCGAAGGAUUGGCUUUACUACCUGUCACCAGGUAGCAUCACCACGUGGGGCCAAUUGAUGAAAAAAUUUCUGGAUAAAUAUUUUCCUGCGUCCAGGGCUGCAAGUCUAAGGAAGGAAAUUUGUGGGAUCAAGCAGCAUCCAGGGGAGUCACUUUACGAAUAUUGGGAACGGUAUAAUAACUUGUUGCGCAGGUGCCCCCAACACCAAAUAAGUGAGCAGUUGAUCAUACAAUAUUUUUAUGAGGGACUCAUUUUUAGAGACAGGAGCAUCAUAGAUGCUGCAAGUGGAGGGGCACUGGUGAACAAAACCCCUCAGGAAGCACGGGAGCUAAUAGAGGGGAUGGCAGAGAAUUCACAGCAAUUCAGUACAAGAGAGGAUGUCCCAAUACGUAGGGUGAAUGAGGUAGAGACACCCUCCAUACAGCAGCAGUUAAAUGAGUUGACUGCGUUUGUUAGGCAACAGGCGGUGAGAAAUGCAUCACAAGCCAGGGUAUGCGGGAUUUGCACUGGUAUAGGCCACUCUGCAGACAUGUGCCCAAUGAUUCAGGAAGAAACUGCAGAACAGGUGAAUAUGGCUGACCACGCGCCCGCGCCAAGGAAGCAGUACGACCCUUAUUCAAGCACCUACAACCCCGGAUGGAGAGAUCAUCCCAACCUCAGUUAUGGAGGGAAUAGGCAACCCAACUUUGCACAAAACAGACAGUCUAACUUUGGGCCAAAUAAGCCGCCAGGGAGGUACCAGCAGCAAUACCAACCCCGACCGCCUCCGGCCCCAAGCGCUGGUCCAUCUUUGGAGGAGAUGAUGAAACAAGUGAUGACAGACAUGGCGAAAAAUCAGCAAAGGACGGAGGCAACCAUUAUGCAAUAUCAGCAAAGGACAGACUCCGAAAUACAGGAUAUAAGGAAUCAGAUGAGUCAAAUGGCCACAACAAUCAACCGUUUGGAUUCCCAGAACCAAGGUAAAUUGCCAUCUCAGCCUGAAUUAAAUCCGAAGAAUGUGAGUGCCAUGACCCUGAGGAGUGGCAAGGAGGUUCAAGGGCCUGAGCUUGUGAUCCCCAAGGACAAGGACGAGGAGAAGAUCGAGAAUGAGCUAGAGAAAGAGGAUAGCAAUGGUGCAAAUCCAAAGGUACUUCCUGACCCAAUAAUUACAGUUAAGACUAACCCGCCUCCUUUUCCUAGCAGGUUGGAAAAAUCAAAGAAGCAGGAUAAGGAGAAGGAAAUCUUGGAGGUUUUUCGCAAGGUUGAGAUAAAUAUCCCCCUCUUAGACGCCAUCAAACAAGUACCAAAAUAUGCCAAGUUCCUAAGGGACUUGUGUGUCAACCGAAGGCGAUUGAGGGGAGAUGAACGGGUCAUAGUUGGGGAAAAUGUGUCUGCGGUCCUGCAGAGAAAGCUUCCACCAAAGUGCGGGGACCCAGGUAUGUUUACUAUUCCCUGUAGGAUAGGUAAUACUGUGAUCAGAAGGGCCAUGUUGGAUCUGGGAGCAUCAAUUAAUGUCAUGCCUAAAUCUAUCUAUGCUUCUUUGAAACUAGGUCCAUUAAAAGAAACUGGAAUAAUUAUUCAAUUAGCUGACCGAACUAAUGCAUAUCCUGAUGGGUUGAUUGAAGAUGUGUUGGUAAAGGUUAAUGAUUUGGUGUUUCCAGCUGAUUUUUAUGUACUUGAUAUGGAUGAUGAUCACUCCCCUGAUCCCUCACCUUUGUUAUUGGGUAGACCUUUUAUGAGCACUGCACAGACGAAAAAUUGAUGUUAAUAAGGGUACCUUGUCCAUGGAGUUUGAUGGGGAAAUUGUGCAUUUUAAUAUUUUUGAUACUAUGAAGUACCCCUCUAACUCCAACUUUAACUCAGUUUUUUCUGUGAGUGCUAUUGACCCUGUAGUGCAGGAAGUGUUUGAAACUGAUGGCAGGGAUGAUGCUGGAGGUGGCUUUAACCAAGCACCUCGAGUUGGAGACAACUCCUCUGGUGGAGUGGAGUGAGGAUUUAAAAUGCACAAUAGGUGCAUUACACUCAUUGCAGAACACCACGAAGAGGUAUGAAGUCUUGCCUAUUUUUACUCCCGAACCUCACCAGAGGGUAUUGCCGUCUGUGGUGCAGGCACCUGUACUGGAGUUGAAGCCCCUGCCAGAGCACUUGAAGUAUGCGUAUCUGGGUGACAAUGAGACACUCCCAGUGAUUAUCUCAUCGGCACUGUCAAAGACGCAGGAAGAGAAAUUGAUUCGGCGUCCUUCGGGAGCAUAAAGAAGCGAUAGGCUGGACAAUCGCAGACAUUAAGGGGAUCAGGCCGGCCAUUUGUAUGCACCGGAUUAGACUAGAAGACGAUGCCAAACCUGUUAGGCAGGCUCAAAGAAGGCUCAAUCCCCUCAUGAUGGAAGUUGUAAAGAAAGAGAUUCUAAAAUUGCUAGAUGUGGGGAUCAUCUUUGCAAUAUCUGAUAGUCCUUGGGUGAGUCCGGUCCAGGUAGUCCCAAAGAAGGCAGGGGUGACGGUAGAGGCCAACCAAACAGCGGGAGCUCGUGCCAGUGCGCAAACCCACAGGAUGGAGGCAGGUAUAGACUACCGGUAGGCUGAACGCCGUCACUAAAAAGGACCAUUUCCCUCUCCCUUUCAUUGACCAAAUGGUUGAACGUUUAGCUUGUAGGGCUUAUUAUUGCUUUUUGGAUGGAUUUUCAGGAUACUUUCAGAUAGCAAUUGCCCCGGAGGAUCAAGAGAAGACAACCUUCACGUGCCCGUUCGGGACCUUUGCCUACAGACGAAUGCCAUUUGGGUUGUGCAAUGCACCUGCGACUUUCCAAAGAUGUAUGGUAAGCAUCUUUUCUGAGUAUGUUGAGAAAAUAAUAGAAGUUCAUUGGAUGAAUGGAUUGCAGUGUUGUGUGUAUGGUGAUAGCUUUGAUACGGUCUAGAUAACCUGAAAUUGAUCCUGAUAAGGUGUAUAGAGACUAAUCUUGUGCUUAAUUGGGAAAAAUGUCAUUUUAUGGUUGAGCACGGGAUAGUCUUGGGUCAUAUUGUAUCGUCUAAGGGCAUAGAAGUAGACAAGGCUAAAAUAGACAUUAUUUAUGCAUUACCCUUACCCGCGACGUGUGCGGGAGGUGCGCUCUUUUCUUGGACAUGCAGGUUUUAUCGAAGGUUCAUCAAGGAUUUUUCAAAAAUUGGAGCCCGUUGUUCCAACUCCUACAAAAAGAUGUAGCCUUCGAGUUUUGAUGACAAGUGUGAGAGAGCCUUUGACAAGCUGAAGGAAUUGUUAACUUCACCCCAAUCAUCAACCACCCCGAUUGGAAUAUGCCAUUUGAGAUCAUGUGCGAUGCCAGUGAUCAUGCUGUUGGGGCUGUACUGGGGCAAAGAGUAGGAAAGGCGCGUCCAUGUCAUCUAUUACGCAUCCCGGGCCUUGAAUGGAGCCCAAUUGAAUUACCUCCACCACUGAGAAGAGCUUCUGGCCGGUUAUUUUUGCUUUAGAAAAAUUCAGGUCAUAUUUGUUAGGUGCUAAAGUAAUUGUAUUUUCUGCGAUCAUGCAGCAUUGAGGUACCUAAUGGCCAAGAAAGAUGCAAAACCGAGGCUCAUCAGGUGGAUAUUGCUACCUACAGGAAUUUGACCUGGAAAUAAGGGAUAAAAGAGGUUCAGAGAAUUUAGUAGCUGACCAUCUGAGCUCGUAUACCCGUUGGAGAGGAUAAUGAACCGUUGAGGGAUGCAUUCCCAGAGCACUUAUUUUCUUUAAAUUCUCAGUUGCCUUGGUAUGCUGAUUUAGUCAAUUAUUUGGUAACUGGUAACUUUCCUGCAGGUUGGCAAAAAUCGAAGAGGGAUAAAUUGAAGAGCGACGCCAAGUAUUUUAUCUGGGAUGACCCGUACCUAUGGAAGAGGUGCAGAUCAAGUGAUGCGGAGAUGUGUAAGUGAAGUGGAAUUUCAAUCAAUUUUAGCUUUUUGUACUUUUGCCUGUGGAGGUCAUUUUGGACCCAAGAGAACUGCUCAUAAGGUUUUAGAAAGUGGAUUUUAUUGGCCUUCAUUGUUUAAGGAUGCCUAUGUGUUUUGUAAGUCAUGUGAUCGCUGUCAAAGGGUAGGUAAUAUAGCCCGUAAAGAUCAUAUGCCCCAAGUCCCGAUGAUUUUUGUAGAAAUUUUUGAUGUCUGGGGUAUAGAUUUCAUGGGACUUUUCCUACUUCAUUUGGUUUUCUGUAUAUUUUGUUGGCAGUUGAUUAUGUGUCUAAAUGGGUGGAGGCUAAGGCCACUCGAACUAAUGACUCGAAAGUGGUUGCAGAUUUUAUCAGAUCUAAUAUUUUUGUGCGAUUUGGAAUGCCAAGAGCUAUUGUCAGUGAUAGGGGAACGCACUUCUGCAACAAAACCGUAGCUGCUUAUUUCGCAAGUAUGGUGUACUCCACAGAGUCUCGACGUCGUAUCACCCGCAGACCAAUGGUCAAGCGGAGGUGUCGAAUCGGGAGAUAAAGUCUAUCUUGGAGAAAAUGGUGCGCCCGAUAGAAAAGAUUGGAGUCAACGGUUGGAAGAUGCACUCUGGGCCUAUCGGACGGCAUACAAGACACCUAUAGGGAUGUCUCCCUAUAGGUUGGUAUUUGGUAAGCCGUGUCAUCUUCCAGUAGAGUUCGAGCAUAAAGCAUUUUGGGCGGUUAACAAUGCAAUAUGGAUAUUGAGGGGGCGGAAUCCAAAGGAAGUUACAAUUACAGGAGUUGGAGGAGAUCCGCAAUGAAGCUUAUGAGAAUGCGGUAAUUUAUAAGGAGAAAAAUAAAAUUUUUCAUGACCAACAGAUCUCAAGGAAGACAUUCGAGUGUGGGCAAAAAGUUCUACUGCACCACUCCAAAUUGCAGUUAUUUCCAGGUAAAUUACGUUCUCGUUGGAUUGGCCCUUUUGUUGUGACUAAUGUCUUCCAUUAUGGUGCAGUCGAGAUCCAAAGUUUGAAAGCUGAGAAGAAAUUUGUAGUGAAUGGUCAUCGUCUCAAGCCGUAUUAUGAAGGGGUUCCAACUGAACGGGUGGAGGUGAUGCACUUGGAGGAUCCUACCUGCUUAGUUUAAGCAAAUUUUUGGACAAUGUCUAGCCAAAGACAUUAAAGAAAGGCGCUCAUUGGGAGGCAACCCAAUUGUUUCUUUUAAAUUGUUUGUUGGUUUCGUAGCAUAGUUUAAAUCUGCUUUCCCUGAAUUUGACUGAUUUUGGGUAUUAGUUUUCGUUUUUGCUGAUUUGUAGGUGACCUUCGGUCAUGACGUGCCCGCGGGUGAUGUGCAGGACGCUCACAAUCAGGAAUUUCUGAACUUCUGGGAGCUCUCCUGCCCUCAUGACGUGCCCGCGUGGUGAUGUGCAGGACGCUCACGAUCAGGAAUUUCUGAACUUCUGGGAGCUCUCCUGGCUUCAUGACGUGCCCGCGUGGUGAUGUGCGGGAUGCUCACGAUCAGGAAUUCUGAAACUUCUGGGAGCUCUCUUGGCCUUAUGACGUGCCCGCGUCACGUUCGCGGGAAAGGUAAGGAUUCAAAUAAAGAGAAAGAAAUAAAAUGAAAAAAAUGUAGGAAAAAUUGUUAUUAUUCCAUUUAUUCGAAUAAUAAAAAAAAAUAAAUAAAUAAAAAUAAUAAUAAUAAAUAAAUAAAAAAUAAAAAAAUAAAAAUAAAAAAAAACAAGAAGAAGAAGAAUCUUUCCCCUAAACCGUAGCAAUUUCUUAGUCAAAAAAAAAAACAAAAAAAAAAAAAAAACCCCUUUUCUUUUUCUUUCUUUUCUUCUUUCUUUCUUUCUUUUCUUUCUUUCUUUUCUUCUUCUUUCUCUCUUCUUUCUUCCUUCUCCGCUGCGUCUCCUUUCCCCUUUUGGCCGCCGCUUCAAACCGCACGCCGCGACUGUCGCCGCCUCCACUGCAGCCCUUCACCAUCGUCGAGCGGACAUCCACCAGCCCACAUCGCGCCCGCCAGACAGUGCCUCCGCUGUCCGCUACCCACUGCCGCCCGCGACCCCAGCCAGUCGCGGCCCAAGCUGCCGCUGCGCGCCGCCGCUGCCCAGUCUUUCGCCGAGCAGCGCAGCCACAGCCAGAUCUACACCCCAGCUCGCCGCCGCCAGCAGCCUCUACCGCAGUUGCUAAAGCUGCGCGCCGCCACUAGCGCGGCGCAGGCCCGCGACAGACAGCGACCCAAGCUGCCGCUGCGCGCCGCCGCUCCCGCGUCGCCAUCCGAAUUGCCACUGCCGCUUCAACCAGCGAGGAGCACGCCUCCCUUGUUGCUUGCCCCUCCGCGCCUGUACGCCCACCACCAGCUUCAACGCCGUACUCUGACUGCCGCUUGGGUAGUCCCAGUGGAGGUAUUUGAACUUUGCUCCCCAAUUUCUCCAAAUCAAUUGGUACUAUCUGGGCUAGUCAAGAGUUAGCCCUGUGAAGGUCCUGUCCUCGAUUGUGUGCGUUCCACAAGUGGUACUGGUUGGAUUAUUUUUGCUUGGUAUUGCUAAUUCUUUUAGGUUGGGUGCAAUUGUGCUUUUGAUUGGCCAUCUGGUGCCACUUAUUAAAUUUUGGGUUGAGCUGAAAAACUGCAGACGAUUGUUAACGUGGGAGGCCUAUUUUGCUUACAUUGUUGGAGGAGUUGUUGAGGUUUCGUUGGGGGGGGGGGGUUUUGCUUCAUUUACCUCUGAUAUUGCAUAUUGGGUUGAAAUCCUGUGCAGUUCGACUUACUUUGUCAACUUGGAAUUGCAUACUCUACUGUGAUUGCUGCAUUGAGGGCCGUGGGUAGCAUCUGUUCUGAUCUUUUAUAGCUGUUUCAUUAAUUGGGCUGCUUGUUGGAAUUUUUUUGGAUAGAUAACGUUUGCUUGAUUACUGGGUGACUUGGAUAAUCUCAUUGCUUAUUAAAUAACCUUUUCCAGUUGCUAGUUGUGGGUGAUAGUUGGGCAACCUGUGGUCAUUGGGUGCCCUUGUUGGUAAAUGGGUAAAAAAAAUUUGUGGGCAAUUCUGUAUCUUGUUGUUCCAACUGACUGUGGGUGAAAUGGUGAGACCGAAAUCCUCCUCUAGGUCUAGGACCCCUCGUUCUCAGCCUGCUCCACAAGCCUCCAUCCCUGUGAAUACACCUACCAACCUACCUUCUUCUUCUAAUGUGCGAACCCGUUUGGGUAGGGGUCGGGGUGCUCAGGUAGAUACCCCUACUCACUUUGGGGGGCACCUAACCUUCACUAGACCCGCCGAUCAGCAGAGGUAUGCUAAGGUCUGCGAGCGGCGUAUUACACCAAGUAAGACUUGGGAAAAAUUAACCGUCAUGGGUCUCGGCAUACGAGAGGAAGUAGAGCAAAUGUUUACAGCCAUCGGGUGGCGCUCAUAUCUAGAUGUCUUAUGCCCGGCCUUUGUCGAGCUGACUCGAGAGUUUUACUCCACCUUUGAGUUCGAUUACUACGAGAUACACCGUUGACACACCACAGGUCAUUCAUUUCGGCUCAUGGGUCGAGAGUUCAAUUUCUCCAUUACCCAAUUCAAUCGGGCAUUUGGGUUUGCCACUAGAGAGUAUGCUGGGAGUAGGGAGUUUGCCGAGAGUGCUUGUGACUACAUAGAGCCGUUCAAUGUCAAGGUGAACUUGGGUGUUGGUUGGCCGCACAGUUGAAGACCGUCUUGGCCAAGAAGAACAAACCCCUCAUCCUUGGGUCAUACAUCACUCACUUGGCGAUACAGUUGGGGGUUCUUGACCUGGAGGACCACGACCUACAUUUGGCGUGCGAGAUGGAGCUCUUGGACGCAGACUGCUUGGAGAGGAUGGGAGUCAUCGAGCGCCUGCCUGAUGGUUCCUACCAGUUCAUCCCUCCUGGACCACCUAGACCUCCGGGUGCACGCCCUACGCCCCGACCAGGACCCUCUUCAUUCCCUGGGUCGGCCGCGGACACUGCUGGGCCGUCUACCUCUACUUCUGCGCCACCUCCACCACCUGGGACCGAUGAUUGGCAGCAUCUCAGGGAGCAGGUUCAGGAUUUGCAGGCCCGGAUGACCAACGUCGACGCCAAUGUCGCCGGCAUAGCACAGAAUUUGGCACAGUUCCUGAUGCAUACAGGCUUUGCACCUCCAUUCCCACCUCGCCCUCCGCUAUGACCCGGUUUCAGGGAAGUUUGGUCCUUUUCCCUCUCACUUUUGUUUUAUAUUUGUCACAUUGAGGACAAUGUGUCCUAUAGGUGUGGGGGGAAUGGGUCUAAAGUGGUGCUAGUGUUUUCCGUUUUUAGUAGUUUUUAGUUCUUAGUAAUUUUUAGUUUUCAUUUUUAGUUCUUAGUUUUUAGUAGUUUUUAGUUUUUAAUAGUUUCUAGUUUUAUUAGUUUUUAGUUUUAAUUCUAGUUGUUUAUUUUUCUUUCUUUGUGACUAUUAAUUCUAGUUUUAAUUCUUAGUUUUAAUCCCAUGUGACGAUUUAAAAAAAACAAAAACAAAAAAAAACAAAAAAAAAAAAAAAAAUAUUUGGUUUAUUGACGCUAGUUCUACUUUUGCCAAGUUCUUUUUUGUUUUAAGUAUAAUGUAUCGGGUUAGUGUGGUUGGAUUCGAGAUGUCUCCUUGGUGAAUAUCGGACUGCUUGGUUCUUUUGAUUUCCGUGUUAACUUUUCUAGGCAUUGGGAAUGACUGUUGGCAUUUUAAUGUGAACUGGUCCAAUAUUGACUCCAGUUCUCCAUGUUUGGCAAUAAUGAGGCGAGCUGCCCCUAUGUUUAGUUGUUAGUGCUGUUAUUUUGCGUUUCUGCUUUGAUUAGCUGUGAAUAAGCUUGACUGUACUCCUCUAUUGGCUACUACCGAGUAACCGGGAAUCUGCACCUAAAAGUGUCGAUUCUCGCGUCAAAAGGUGGUACUUGAUAUGAGUAUGUGGUUGCAUAGCGGUAGGAGCUGAGUAACCGGGCUCCUUCAUCUAAAAAUGUUGGAGUUCGCGUGAAAAGGCUCCGGCGGCUAGAGACUAAGUCUCCUUGGGUCAAAUAUUACUAUGUCCAAAAAAAAAAAAAAAAAAAAAAAAAAAAAGAGAAUAAAUAAUAGGGAAGCUUGCUGGUUUAUGGACUCAAUAUGGGGACUUGUGUGAAGAUUUGGACCAUUAGCUGAUAAAUGCUGUGUGUCAUUCCUUUUCCUUAGACUAGUUAAUUUGGAAUUUGAAGGAGUUUUGCGGUAGAGGCUAACUGGGGGAUGUUUCUCGGAUUUUAACUACUAGUGCCCGAUAUAUGAUUUUCUUUUGAAUCUCUCGGCAAUGUGGUAGACUAGAGUGAUGACCACUGUCAACUUUUUGGGGUCUGCCCACUCUUCUUAUGCUUGAGGGCAAGCAUGAUUCACGUGUGGGGGGAAUUGAUAGGGUAUAAUUUGUUAGUAAUUUUAUUAUUAAUUUCCCCUUCUAUCCAGGACAAAUAUUGUGUUAAUUGUUGAUAUUCACUCAUAUUUGGUAUUUGGACCCAAUUCCAGGAGUGGAGCAGAUAAGUACAAAAAGAGGGACUUUUGGAUGCAAAUUUGGGAGACUUUGGCAGAGAGAACUUGAAGGCUUGGGCCUUUGACUUCGGUGGGGACCACGGAGGAAAGGACAAAAAAGGCUUUGGUCCUUUGGUUCUUGAAAAAAAAGCAACGUACAAAAGCCUAAGAGGACUAAGAAGAAAGGCGGUAGCUUGUGACCAAUCAGUGGGGACCGCUGGAUAUCUUUCUUUUGUUUCUUUUUAAAGGCAACUAACGUACGGAGGCAGGGGACCGUUUUUUAGUUCAGCUUCUUAGCCUAGUCUUUAGUUUUUAGUUUUUCUUUCUUUUUUCCUUUGACUGGCCUCUGACACACGCCAGGUGUUCGACAAAAUUCCCCAACGGGAAAAACAUCCUUCAUUCCUUACUUUUUAGCCAAAAACAAUGCCUUCGCAAUUUAUUAAUUCGUGUGGUGACUUAAUUAUGCGGCGUGGCUAAAUCUUCCAUCUAGUCAAGGGUCAACUCGACGGCGCAGUCCCGAAAAUCUGUGAGAUCUAAUUAGUUUUCACGCGUUCCUUAAUUUAUUCAUAUUUGCACGUUGCCUGCUUGUAUUUUCAUGAGAUUAUUUUAUUAAUUGGAUGUCAAGGGCCCGAUGUUCAAUGUGAUUUAUUAAUCUCGUGCCAAUUUAGUCAAUUAAAUCCGUAAUUGUUUGUUUGAUUAAUAUUAGUGGCAACUGGUGUGUUUACACAUUAGGGGAACGUGCGAUCUAAUUUAAAUAACCCUCGUAGCGUGUUAUUGGUUAGGGCUAGGUUUUUCUAAUAUUAAUGCAAUUGGGAAAUUAAUUCCUAUGGUCGUACCUAGGAGUAUUUGCUGAUUAGGGGUAAUCAACGGUCGUACCUUGGUUAUCAAUAAUUUAAGGAAAAAUUGGUCAUCAGACUAUAACUAGCCUAUUAAUGAAUUAAGUGAACCUCUCCUGCAUCAAUGAUCGGAUAAGUGGACUGUGCCUGAGUAGUUGCAUCCUUGGCUAGAAUUUAUUUAUUCCUGAUUAAAUUCCUGCUAUAUUUGUGCUAGUGAUUUAUUCAUUUUUAAUUAAAUUGUCUAAUUAUUUUUAGUUUCAUUCCGAUAAAAUCCCCCCUUAUCAAUUGGACUUUAAAAAAGAGACAAACAUCUCCAGUCCCUGAGGAGACGACCCUACUUGCCACUGUCUACUAUUCAGUAAUUUUUGUCAAUUAAUUAAUACUGGUAUAUCGGAUUAAGUAAACUCUUCGGGAACAGGGUGAAUCAAGUAACCCAUUGCACACCUAGAGUCCCUGCUCCAGUACCUAGGAUUAAUUAUUGACUGCUUUUAGUGGUAGCUAGGUUCUAUAUUUAUUACUAUUAUUGCACAGGCCGACGACCUGUCAUAUAUGUAUAUUAAAUAAAUAUUAAUAUACAUAUUAUAAAAAAAUUGAAAUAAAAAAUAUUAUAUAUAUAAAUAAAUAAAUAUUAAUAUAUAGAAACAGAGCUAGUAUAUAUUUUAAAAAAUCCCAAAAAUAAAAAUUUUUUAAAAAAGAUUUUGGAAUCAAAUGUGGGAUUCAUCAAAACCCUCCAAUCUAGUUGGGGAUUGAGAGUGGCUGAUUUUUCAUGAUUCAUUCCAAGAUUUCAAAACCCAUACCCAUUAGCCAAGCAACAAUUUUGGGACUCAAUCCAAUUCUUGAUUCCUAUACCCUCCCACCAAGCACUUGAGUAAUGGAUCACGGAAUCCAGCACAAGUUGAUUAAGAAGUUGCUCAGUAAUUCUUCUUUUCGAUGUGGAACCGACGCGAAUUUGUAAUCUUCUUGGUCUCCAACACUGCACACUUUUGUCCUUUUAUUUCAACCAAAAAUUAAAUAGUAUUAGUUGUUUUCUAUCUACAUAUUUCAAGGAUUAAUUUCACUUUACACCGCUCAAUUAUGCCUGAAUUCCUACUUAAACCACUGAACUUUAAUUAUAAAGUAUAAUAUUUGUCUCACUUUGGUCUUUUAAUGUACAAAUUCUGUCCUAUUUUAAUUCCUAAAUUAUAAAAUCUAUUUCACCUUAAUCCUAUAGAACGAUAUUUGUCUCACUUAAAUAUAAUAUCUGUCUCACUUUUGUCAUUAAUUUUACCAAAGUGGGACAAAAUUUUUAUUUUAAGGACUAAAAUGUCUCAUUUUAAAGUUUAGGAAUCAAAGUAAAAAUCUGAGCAUGGGUAAAAGGUGAAAAGUGGAAUUAACCCUAUAUGAAUUAGAGGAAUGUGUUUUAUUUUUUAUUACCAUUGUUUGGAUGUAUUAUUUAGAAUAAUUACUUUAGUACAUUUUGUGAUGUGAUGUAUGUGAAAUAAAAAGGUGAUUGGAAAUAUAAAAAAGUGGGUUAGAAAAUGUGUUUAUAAUGCAAGCGAAAUAUAUUAUUAGAAUAAAAGCAAAGCAGUUUGACGCGGUUGUUGGUAGUCAUAUGAAAAGAUCCAAACUGUUUUCUGAUGUUCUUGUUCGGCAUCCAGCAGUGAUUUUCAUUCAAUUCUGACCACCCACUCUAUAUUUUUGUAUUCGAGCUAAAGAACUCGUAACGAGGCAAACAAAAUUCCCAACCUUUUUCCUUUCUUUUGCUGGAAAAAAUGCAACAAUUUUUUUUUUUCUAAAAAGGACUGAAAUGCAUUGUCAAGUUAGAAGUGCAGAAAGUGCACUUCAUUUAUAAGUUUUGUGGAGCCAAGAAUUUCAGAAGAAGAUAAGGCCCAUGUGCAAAGUUACAAAAGAACACAACGGAGAGAUACAAAAACAGAAUCUGUUCUUAAUGAAGUUUCCAACUCCUAAAGACAGCUCAACAAUUAGUGUCCCAUUUGUAAUUCUUGACAAAUGAUAAAUAAUAAUACUUUAUGGCUUUUCCAAUCUGUUCCCCACAAGAUAAUCCUAUCAAGAAAGGGGGUGAGCUGAACGUGAAAGCUUAAAAUUAUCACACAUCGCCUAAAUGGUGUAUAUUUUUGCAGAAAAAAAAAUGAGAAUUUGAUUUAAAUAAUUGUUUUCAAGGCUUUUCUGAAAACUAUUAUAUUUUAGCACCUUUAUUAAUAAAUAAAUUCGUGAGAUAAAUAGAUAGUAGAUUAACGUGUUCAAAAUUUUAUUGUGAAGCAUGUUUAUGAAUACCAUGACUUAGACAAAUUUCUUAUACUUUAAAUGCAUGUCACGAUGAGGAAUAGAUUCAUUCUAUUUCUCGGUGAUUUAGUGCACACACUUUUUAUAGUCUUUUCAACCUUUGUCCACACGUUGUAAAGUUUUACCACAUUAAUAUAAAUUACUAGUCAUCUAGAGCUGGGAUCAAAGAGUCAGCCGUGGAUAAGAGAAAUCCCAUGUACACUUGAUCUUUUAUGAAAAAAUAAAAUAAAAAGGUAAAGCAAUUAUUAAAUAUUUAAUAAGACUUUCUUACUAGUGCCUGAAAGGCUCUGAUUCAGGCACCGGUUAAUCAAUUCCCACAUCUUUGAUUCAGGUAAGAAGAUUGGAAAAUAAUUGUGAUUAUAAGGAUUAAAAUCUUAAACAAACCUUAAAAAUAUCCUAAACUGACCUGAAUAUUUGUCUCCGGUCUAAGAUAACUCUCUUUGGAGAUAUGAUAGGUAACGCGUUUUUGCAACGGACAAGUUGAGACCGUCCUUCCGAGUAAACCGAUGUCAUUGAAUCUGAAAUUUCAGAGCAGCUUCCUUUCCUCGAGCAUUUCAAAUAGUACUUAAUAGAUUCACCAUUAAUUCAAUAGACGAAUUAGAGGUUUUUCAAUUUCGCUUAAAAUCUUAGAGGAGUAGGUAGAGCAGUCUAUUCCCAGGUAUGGAAUCCAAUUACCAAAUACCCCUUCAAUUGCAAAUAGUUAAUGUAAGAAACGUUUGGGGAUCUACCGUCUCAAUACCUUAGCAACAAUAAUUAAAUAAAAGUUGGCUGGGAAGACUCAAGUAAGUCGUCAACUCCACUAAGAAAACAAGUAGUAUAUAAACAAUGUAUAACCCACCAAGGGAAGAAGGAGCUAAGAGAUCCAUCCCAUUGUAUAUUAAAUAAAAGUUGACUGGGAAGACCAAGUCGUCAAGACCAGCAUGUUGGUGUAGCAUGAAAACAAGUAUGUAACAAUGUUGUAGGAGUGGUCCUAAGUAACCAAUCUGGUUGUCCGCCUUUGUAUCAACCUUCUAUUUGCAACCAAAUAUCCUUUCCAAAUCAUAUUAGUAUUAUUCUAUCGUUGCAAUGGCUGAAUUGUUUGUUCCAAAGAUAAUAGGUGAAUUGGGUGAUGUUGCCGUGAAGCAGUUUGGGCGAAGGUCAACUUGGUGAUGGGGUCGAAGAAGAGGUGACAAAUAUCUCCUCUAAGUUGGCAACCAUUGAAAAAGUGCUGCAUGAUGCAGAGAGACGAAGGCUGAAGGACAGAAGUGUUGGAAUUUGGCUAGAAAAGCUCGAGGACAUAACAUAUGAGAUGGAUGAUGUGCUGGACGAAUGGAACUUCAAGAUUCACAGAGCAAAGAAUGAGGGAACUAGUCAGAAUGCCAGAAUGCAGCCUACACUGCAGAACAAGGUUCGUUCCUUUAUCCCAUCCCUUUGUUCUUGUCUCAAACAAGUUCCUGUGCGUAGUGAUAUAGCUCAGAAAAUAAAGAAAAUAAAUGAACAGCUAGAAUUAACUUUGAAAGAGGCAGAUCAAUUCAAGUUUAUUACAAGUGGGGGGAUUCCUGAUUCUCAAGAUUUUCAGCGAAUUAUGACUACCUCAAUCAUAGACGAAUUAGAGGUCUAUGGUCGAGCAGCUGAUAUGGAGAAGGUUCUUGACCAAAUUUUGUCCAAGAGUAGUAGUCAAGGAAGAGAUGGGGUUCAAAUUAUCUCUGUUGUAGGGGCCGGGGGUAGUGGAAAAACCACACUUGCCCAGCUGCUCUUCAAUAAUGAUAAUGUGAAGAACCACUUUGAACUUAGAAAUUGGAUCUGCAUAUCAGAUCCUUUCGACCAGAAAAGGGUCGCGAAAGCUAUCCUUGAGAAUGCUGGAAAAAGUUCUCAUGAAGCAGAGUUGGAUCCGUUGAUCCGACGUAUAAAAGAAACUUUUUCCGGCAAGAGAUUCCUGCUUGUCCUAGAUGAUGUUUGGACAGAGGACGACUCAAAGUGGAAACCUUUCAAAGACUCUCUUAAGGAUGGGGCUCCCGGAAGUGUAAUCUUGGUAACAACAAGGAGUCAUAGAGUGGCCACAGUGGUGGGAUCGACUGAUACUCACGACCUAGGCAUGAUCUCUCACUCUGAUUGUUGGUUAAUAAUGCAAAAGAUAGCGCUUGCCAGAAAAUCAGGGGACUUAUGCAAGAAGGUGGAAAGAAUUGGGCAGAAAAUUGCAGAAAAGUGCAAGGGCUUGCCACUUGCAGCAAAGACUAUGGGAAGCUUGUUACGGUUCAAAGAUACCGUACAGCAGUGGCAGAAUGUUUUGGACAGUGAGAUAUGGCAAUUGGAGGAAGCAGCCGUGGAACUUUUCCCUCAUUUGUAUUUAAGCUAUAACGAGUUGUCCCCGGAGCUGAAACGUUGCUUCUCAUAUUGUGCUGUCUGGCCCAAAGAUUGUGUGAUAAAUGUAGAAGACCUUAUUAGGCUGUGGAUAGCACAAGGUUAUGUUCGCCCAGGACGAAGAGGUGAGCGCUUGGAGCUGGUGGGCCGUGAGUACUUCAACAAUUUGGCGAUGCGUUCCUUUUUUCAAAAUUUAGGAAAAUAUGGUCAUGAAUAUGGCGAGUGCAAGAUGCAUGACAUAGUGCAUGAUUUUGCACAAUUUCUCACAAAAAAUGAAUGUCAUACACUUGAUGGAAUUGGAAGAAAUUCAUCUAGUGAAAGACCACGUCAUCUAACAAUUUGGGAAGAAGGCACUGAGGAGGAGAUGUUUAGUUCUCCAGUCGUUGAUUUUGGAAGGCUCAGGAGCUUUUUUGCUUUUGGUCGAAUUGGAAGAGUAAUAGUUCCCCAAAAUCUGUUUUGCAGUUUGAAGUGCGCGAGGACUCUGGCUUUAAGUGGUUGUGGGCUAGCUGAAAUCCCAACCGAGAUCGGAAGGUUGAUUCAUCUUCGGCACUUGGACUUAAGUGAUAAUCCUUUCAUUACAAUGCCAGAAGCUAUAUGUGAUCUAUAUUAUCUGGAAACUUUGGAUAUCGGUUUUUGUGGAAAGCUUUCGUGCCUUCCUGAAAGGAUUGAAGACCUUGUACACUUGAGGCACCUUAUCAAUGACGCGACCGAUGAAUUACGUCAAAUUCCACAAGGACUCGGGAAGCUGACGUCACUCUGUAGUUUGACUCGGUUCAUCGUCAGGUGCAACUCUGAUGAUUUGGCAAUUCUGAAGGACCUGAACCAACUGGAAAUAUUGCACGUUGUAAUUGAAGGAGAAGUAGAUUUUGGGAGUGCGGAACUUGGCAAGAAAGUCAAUGUGCGUGACAUGUAUUUGCUCUCUAGAUUCGAGGCCCACUUUAUAGAAACUCCAUGUUGCAUUGAAACCAUGGAACCACCUCCAAACUUGGAAGAACUUGAGCUAGCUGGCUAUCCAAGAGCCCAGUUACCAAGUUGGCUUGUGACGAAGUCUCACGCCGAUAACUUGACAAAGCUAGUUAUUGCUAGGGCCCGCAACGUCUCAUCCUUACCUGCCUUGUGGAAGCUAUCAUCCCUAGAAGUGCUUGUGCUCACGGAAGCGGAAAAGAUGGAAUGUUUGGGUAAGGAAUUCUUCGGAGUUACAAAAGCACUACAUGAAAAUAGUCGUGAUGCUCUUGAUACAUUGUCAGACUCCGAGUCAUCAUUCUCAGCUGAAGCAGUGGCAUUUCCAAAUUGAGAAGUUACAUUUUCGCCGCUUCCAAAAUUGGACAAAUUGGGAAGACUUAAGUGAAGAUGAUGAAGAAGUUGCUGUCUCUAUCAUGCCACAUCUAGAGGAGCUAAAAAUUUGGGACUGUGAAAAGCUUGAGAUUUUGCCACAUCGCAUCCUCAGGAUAUCUCUCAAAAACUAGAAAUUAGUCAAUGUACAAAGCUCGAGACUCUGCCACAUCACAUCCUCGCAAUACAUCAUCUCUCAAAAAUUUGGAUAUUCGACGUUGCGACAAGUUGAGGGAUCGUUAUUCUGACAAAACAGGAGAUGACUGGAUAAAGAUAUCACACAUUCCUCGAGUUCACAUAUCUGACGAAUAUUAUUAAUCUGCUCAGGUAUUGUUAUUCACACAUUUUUUUUAUGUAUCAUCAUCUUUGAAGUCAAAUAAUUACUAUGUAUAGAAUUACAACAAACAAAGGCCUGCUUUGUGGAAUAUGACGUGCUUAAUAAUGAAUCAAGGGUUGACAGAGCCAUAUGUAUAAUGAAAAUAUGAAGUAUUCAUUAAUAAUUUAGAGUGAUUUUUUUUUAUUGAGAAGAUGCAAGUCAUUAACUAGUAAAUACAACACUAAAUUUCUAACAAUAUCUAUCUGUAAACUCUUGAGUUUGGGAUUCCAUUUGUCUUCUCUUUUUUUUUUUUUUUUUGGUUGCUUUUGUCCUUUGUUUUCCAGAUGAUAAUCAUUGAUGGCUCAAAAUGAAGCUACAGCAGAAGGCAUUGGGGAUCAAUCUCUACGUCAACUUUUCACUUGGGUUCAUGUAAAAUUUCAAAUAAUUGUAAAUAUGGUUGAAGAGGCACAUCCAGUUGCUUUGUUCAAAAUCAUUUGCUGAAAGCAUAUGUACCCUUACAAAUUUCCAGAUUGAAUUUCAAGUGAUUACACAACCAGUCUUUAUUUCUUCAAAUUAUUAUUGUCCUAUUGUAUGUAAGUUUGUGUAGAUUUAAUAAAAAAGAAAGUUUGUACUUCAUGCUUAUCUAUAUAUUGUAUUAUUGACAAUCUAUUAUUAGCGCACCUAUUUUAUGGUAUUAUUUUAAAAAUAAUAUAAAUUCAAAUUUGAAAUUGAAUAAUACACAUGAAGCAUACAUCCAAAACUGUUAGUAAUAAAAAAAAAUAACUAUAUUAUGAAUGUAUAAAAAGUUAAUCCUUAUUCUAAUGGUUAAAAGUUGACAAGUUGACAAAUUAUUCCCAAAGAAAUUCCAAAACUUUCAUAAUUGAAGUCACUAUCUCUCAAGUAGACAUUACCUAAUAAAAAAUUCCAUCUCUGGAGAGAAACAAAAUUGGUACUUCCCGUUCAGCUUCCAGAAAAUCGAAAUAUGAAAGAAUUCCCAAAGAAACAACAGAACCUUGCCCAAUGCUGCUAGAUUGCUACUUAAGUUACCACGCUUGACUAGAAACUAGCACUAAUUUCACCAACAAGUUUGUUUACAAAUUAACAAAAAUCCCCACAAACAUCAAAUUAGAAACCAAAGUAGUGCCCACGACUGAAUGCAUGCAGGGAAUUACAGCACAAAAUCUUUGGAGUAAGGAAUCCUACUCUGCCUGCUGAGAAGGAUUCAGAAUAGAAGAAUUACAACAGUACAAAGCUCUAAUGUUGGUCGACAGCACCUGCUUCCUAAAAUUUCAGAUGGUGUUCAAACAAAGAAGCCAUUUCAAUCUACAAUACAACUCAAACAAGGAAACCAAUUCAUCCUUGGUACCGGAUCAUGAAUAGACAUUAUUAGAGAGGAAAAUGCCGAUCAGGAACAUUUAUUUCUAAAAUAUGGUACAACUCAUUAUUUUGUCAGACCCAAGAUACAAAAUGAACAUCAUGCCAUUAAAUAUGCUAUGACAGCAAAAACAGACUCUUCCUGCGAAAGUUUCUUACUCAUAAGAUCAUGACCUAAAGAAGGACAAGAUUAUGAGUAAUGAUCAACCAGAAUUUGAUUUAGAAAGCUACCGAUAACUACAUGCACUGUCAUAAACUAGAUCCAACUCCAAACUAAUAAAAGCUAGAUAUUUUAGAGUCUGCUGAGAAACUCCCAACAUCACAGAGAGACCCACCAAUGGUCGUUAUGGAGUUCAAUCCCUUAUUUGCCUUAUAACUCCCAUUUUUAACUCAAAAAAUAAUUUAUUUUGGAUGAUCGAUACCUCAUUGCUUAAGUAAGAAGGCCCUUUCCAAGCAUUCCUAUUGGCUGUAUUAUACUAAAUUAUAUUGAAAGAAGGCCAGUUACAAGGGCAAAACCCUGCAGAGAUGGAGAAAUUCAUCAAAUCACCCCUUUCCAAUGCAACCAAACCAAAAAGAAAAACAGAAAAGGUUCUUUAUUGAUGACAUUUGAUUUAAACAGAACUCAAACUAGAUACUAUUCACAAAGUAAACAAUUUGGCAGACAGCAAAUAAAUACUCCAUGGAGUAAAACGACAAGAAAAUGAAGAGACAAGAAAGCAACUCAACAAAAUGAAAUUGACUUACAACUAUCAGCACUGCUUCAGUACCUUUAUUUCCGGACUUACCACCAGCUCGAUUGAGAGCCUGCAUUUAUCAUAAUGUAACUUUAAGAAAUGGGAUACCAAUGGGAAAAUUUGUAGAAUACUGGUAAAGAUCAGGGCAACAAUUUUCGUCAGCAUAGAAAUUUGACCAAAAAUUACCCACAGGAAGAUUAUCAUAUUCAGCAACAUGACAAUUAUAUGAUGAGCUCUUUUAUGAUUUUCAAUGCAAUAACUCCCAUGCAAAAGAGUAUAGGAGAUCAGAAAGGUCAGCCAUGAGUUUUCAUUGAGUUGUAUUAAGCAAAAGAGAAAUUUCAUGAAUUUACCUGCUCCAUGUCAUCAUAGGUCAAAACACCAAAUAUGCAUGGAACACCUGGAAUUCAUUGAAAGGAAAAUUAAAUAUUUCACCAUUAAGCCACUGUAAAUGUUUUGAGACUGCAUUCCACAUACAGAGUUGUCUGUAUUUGAAACACAAAAAUGAAGUUAUAAGUGUGCACACAACGAAACAAGUUGAUGAUUCCUAAACACUUCAAGUACCAGUUAUGAGGUAUGUAUCCGUAAGUUCCUACACUAAACAAUUUUCUCAUCUUCUGACAUUUGAGAAUAUAAGAACCUCUGCUUCUGUGUCUAUGAGCACAAAAUGGGAAAAACGGGUACAACCACUAUGCAGUGCACUUAUUACAAAUCAGACAAUUUCAAAGUGGUUCCAAGUUGCAAUAAACCAUGAACAUCUUUCAACAACACAAGAUGAGUGCUUUUAACACAAAAACCAUCUGUCAACUAGGCAAAAAUUUCCAUCAUUGCUACCACCUAUGGAUCUGUAGUAUUACACAGUUACCAAUCUUUUGAUUCCUUUCUUAACAAAACUUGUUCAACUAAGCUACUAACUCUUCCAAUUGCAUAAUACAAUAUGCUAAUGGAAUUUAGUAAACUAAAGAACUUUUCAACCUUAAGACUAGUAUGCUACACCGGAGGCGCUAAGAAAGAGCUUUCUUUAGUGAUCCCAAAUUAACAGCCACUUUCAAAUUUUAUUCUCAAUCUAUAGACAGUGGCAUCAGACUAGGCUCCAUUUGUAGCAUACAUGUUUGACAUAAGUGUGUACUUUACAACCUUGUUCAGCUCAAAAGCGAAAAGCUCUGAUUAGAAAGAAGUUAUAAACAAAUAAUCCAAGGACGCUAAAUAUUAACAUCAUCAAUAUCCCAGUCUACGAAAUCUAAGGCAGCUUAGUUAUGAGAAAGACACGUAGGGAAAGAAAGAACGUUAGCAUGAUUAGAAACAAAAGUUACAAACAAAUAAUCCAGGUAAGCCAAAUAUUAACAUCAUCAAUAUCCCAAUCUAUCUCUCUCCAUCUCAAGCUCCCUCAAAUCUCUAACCAAAUGUGAUACGUUCCUCGAUCAACACGACGUUUCGAGACACGUAGCACGUUUGCCCAAGGAUCUAGCGAGGAUGUCCAACGCUUGGAAUUGCGGGAUCUAGAACCAAACGGACGACACGAUUUGAUUCAAGACGGUAGACGACACUCCGAUGAAGGUGAAUACUCCAGGGGAAUAGGUCGGUAGAACAAUCUAGGACAGGACGCAAGACUGUUCAAAACCCUUGCCAAAGCAAGUAAAGGGGUCGAAUCUCUCUCUCAAGAAGAAUCGAAAAUAUGCAAAACUUUAUUGAUAAAACGACUACUCUUAAACCUUACAAAGCAAGCCUAUUUAUAGGCUAAAGUGACUAAAACCCUAAAGGGGCUAGGUAAAGGAAAAAGUCGGCCAUGCUCUUGGAACAAGAUGGGCCGGCCCAUGCUCUUACUUAAUCAUUAACUAAUUGCUAACUAAUUGAUGGGCCUAAGGCCUUAUUCUCUUGGUGGCCCGCUUGACUCUUCGUGGGCUUGGAUCAUGGUGUAAAUGGCUCGAUUGUCUCUCUCCAAGCCCUCAAUAUCUUUGUGAACUCCAUGUUGGUCUUGCAACAACUCUAACCGGAACUUGGAAUGAUUCUUUGAAUAGCUUGGCCCAUGCAUGCGUGACUGGGCCAAUGGGACUCGAAACAUGUAAGUCAUUGCGUGGGCUUUGACCCGUACACACAUCAGUCCCUCUCUUGAGAAGGAUUUGUCCUCAAAUCUGGAUGGGAAUGAAUGAGACUAACAAGAGUUGCCAGUAUGACACCUCAAAUCUCCACAUAUUGGCCCUCUUAGAUUGAUAACACUUGCAUAUGUUAUGAUUAAAAUAAUUCGGUGCACAUGUCUCUUAGUCAGCUUCAAGGGCCUCUCGAACAAGGACAUUCGCCAAGGUAAGAAAGGAACGUGUGUAAGGGCUUGUGAACGUUCCAGGUUGCAACACAAAGCUCUCCAAUUUGUCUUCGAGUAUGGGCAUUCACGUGCACUUGAUAACGAUGUUCGUUGGACUAAAAAAGCCCGAAUCUGGUUGUGCAAGAUGGUACAGUUCGACCCUAGACAUUGCUGAAUCAACUCAACUUUCCAAGCUGGAGGUAGGACACUGAACCACCCGUGUUGUACACCCAUAUAAAUAUGACCCAGGGAGGUAGGGGUAGCAUUCGGAUUGUGAUUGACACACUUGUGUGCAUCACCCAACAUAAGCGGUAGUAAUGAAGUGAGACGCACUCCAUACGAAUCACAUGCGUUCGCGCCAUAUGCAUCUGGAACAAGUACGAAAUCAGGUUGCAACUCUUUAGUCAUAGUUGGGAAAUUUUGGCCAGCUUUACAACCUACAAACACAAAAUAACCUUCAACUUGAAACAAUUCAGAAAUUGGAUAAAGAAAUAAGGGAACAUUAUUAACUAAAUAGUAAGAAGGUUUAGAGCAAGAUUUAAAUGUGAGAACUCCCUUUGACACUUCAAUAUUUCUUCCACCAAUUGAUUCAACUUGAGAGUCCAGUGCUAGUCCUUCCUCAUCAAGAUCUACGUAAGAGCAACAAGAGUUAGUGCUAGUAACAUGCUCAAAAUAAGGCAAAGGUGAUGAAUGAACCAUAGGUAAAGAAUAAGAAGUAGAAUCUGGAAUUUCCCUUUUGAGAUGAGCUCGAAUGAAUCCUCCAAUGGCGCGGACAGAUUUGAUUGGACAUUGUUCCAUGAAGUGAUACCAAAGAGAUUUAGUUCCUAAAAGAUAAACUCCAUGGAAACUCACAAAGUGUCCAAGUGACUUCGGGAUGGAACAUGCCAUGACCAACUCUACUUGACUUUGUUUAACCUGCACAAACGAGGAUAUACUAAACAAAACACAUGUAAUCUGGUUAGCAAACAAAGUGUUCACACGUUCAAUGUUUGCAGACAUGGUCAACUCUUUUUCUUGACUCUUCACUAAGGCCAAAUUGUUCUUGCUUAUCCCCACUCCCUUCUUCUCGGACCAUUGAUCCUUCAUUGCACUUGAGUUUUGUUUUUCAUUGGGGAGCUCUUGUUCACGGCUCGGCAGCAACUCAUUCGUACGUGGCUCUUCAAUCAACGAUGGACUAGACUGAAUUUUUCCUUUAUUACCACCGGUUGGCACAUGGUUAAGUUGCUCCAAGUGUGAAUCCAGCACUUGGCUAAGUCUUUCCAUCAUGUCAUCAAUCAAUGCUUUAGUCCGACUUCGGAAUUUUUCCUUUGAUUCACGAAGCGUUGACUCAAUUCGAGAAUUCUCAAACUCCUCGUCUUGAUUGUCAAGACGCUUCUUAGAUGCACCUCGUUUGCUUGAAGUUGACCUCGAUUUAGAUGCUCUAUGCAGACUUCUUUGCUCCUUCUCAUACUCAUCACAAUCUUGUUUAUACCUUUCAUAUACACACAAAGCACGGUGGCGUUGCAUCUCCUCCCGGAGUGAAUGAUACCCACGUUGUGAACUGGAUGGCAUGGAACUAGAGUACUUGAGAGUAGUCUGCUUGGAACCCCUCCUCUUGAGAGGCUCAUUCUCCAAGAAUUCUUGGUUGUAUGAGUAAGAGGCAACUCCCCUAGGCAUGAUUAUGUGACCUGCAAAAAUGGUUAGCAAAGAAAAGGAAUUUUCCUCCCACACACAAGCUCACGUUUGUACACUCGACUCUCGUGUCUCACUCAGGCUGAUGACACUCUAAUGGUCUUACCAUUACACUUACGUUGCCGGAUUGAGUAACUUGAGCAAUGCCGCACAAGGUCUAAGAAUUGUUCACCAAGUUUCGCACAAGAGUAACCAACGAGCAAAGAUACUUUGGACACGCUUGAGAUACUGUUUUAUGACCUAAAUAAUGUAGGUGAGCAGCCCAAGAUAAUUGACACUAGAUAAGACACAAAACUCAAAAGCUGAAAUUUUGGAAUUCCUAGGAAGGACUCUACCCGCACCAAUUUCUGGAAUUUGUUGGGUUGCUGUUUUCAUGCCCUUUUGGUCAGGGUUUUGGGGUAUUGUUGGUGUUGUUUUGGUGAAUGAGUCAGCCCUUAAACUUAGCCCAAUCCGAUCACAAAGGGCUGUUUCACUAAUUCGAGAAUGCGGCUGGUUUGGCUUGUCAAGGUGUGGCGGUCGGCUUGUGGGUGUAGGAGGCUGGAUUGUGUAUUGAGUGGGCUGGCUUAUGUCGGUUAGCACUCAUAGUUGCAACCGACCUUGGACACAAGAUUGUGUAGAGGUGGCCGAAUGUGAGACAGAAUUUGGGACACUGAAUUGGUGAAUAUAUGGGCGGUGGUGGUCGGUCAAGACAUUUGGGAAAUGAUUUUGGUGUGCUGGCCGAAUGUGAGUCAGAAUUUGGGAAACUGAAUUGUUGAUUGACUUGGUUAUAUGUGGGCGGUGGAGGUCGGUGGACGGAAGGUUUGGGGAAUGAGUUGGUGUGGUGGUUGGCUGGGUUGGCAAACUGAAUUGGUGAUUUAUGGGCGGUGGGUGCGGCCGAAUGUGAAACAGAAUCUGAAAGACUGAAUGGGUUAUUGAAUUGUGGGUGGUGAAGGUCGGUCAAGGCUUGGGAAAUGAGUUGGUGUUUGGCCGAAUGGAAGACUGAAUUGGUGAUUAUAUGGCAGUGGAGGUCGGCUGGAGGGAAGCUUGGGUGGUAUAUUAAGUGGGCUGUGGGGUCUGUUAAGAGCUUUUGGGGGAAUGGUUUGGGAUGGCCGAAUAAGUUUCUUGGGUCCUAUUAAUCCUACCAGAAUUAGGAGUAGUUGGGUCACGGUGGGACUUGGGUUCUCCAAGUAGGAGACUAGAGCCAAUAUCCUUGCUUUCCUUCCUUUUUUUAUUUCCUCUUUCUUUUUUUUUUCGUUCCUUUUGUUUCUAUUCUGUCUUCCUCUCUUUUUUUUUUUCUGGCUCAAUGCUCAAUCAGAUUUUGCACGACUCAAUUCCAGUCCCAAGAAAAGAAUUCAGCACAAUUCUGGUUUCAAGAACUUCCAAACCAGUCUUUGGUAGGCCAAGAUUUUGAAGAAACUUGCUCAAGAAGCUCAAGAACUCACCCAAGGAUGUGUUGGUAUUCAAGUUUUGCAAGAAAAACAACACAAAAGUUCAAGAACAAGAGUAAACAGGCUCGGCAGCCCCAACAACUAAAUUCCAGCAAUGACUCCAAGGGCCACAACCAGGUAUGCGGCUUUCUCUCCUUUUCUCUUUUUUUUUUUUGUGACUUUUGCUGAGUUGUUUACACGGCCCCAACAACACAACAACCAACCAGAAUGGACCCACUAUCUGGACACAUAUGAAUCAGCAAUUAACGAAGGGGGAAUCUGGACAGAUUGCUACAACACAAGAUGCGACAAGGAGGGAAAGGAACCCUAGCUGCCGCAAAGGUUUUUUUUUUUUUUUCCACGGACAGUUUGGGGCUGCUAUGACACGCACCACUUGAACAGAAAUUUGGUGCAAGAAACGACACCAGACUUGGCCAGAUUCGGUGAUGGCAACAACGACCCAAGAACAAGACAAAUUGUGGAGGUGCAACUAUGGGAUGCUACGGCACAAAUUGACGCAACAAGACACAAAAAGGAAUUGCGGACAGAUUUCUUUUUUUUUUUUUUUCAGUUUCGGCUAGGACCAAUUGCUGGGCAGAAUGGUUGCAAUUCGAGUACAAAAUUUGGGCAGAUUAGAACUAGCAACAAUACAUGCGACCGACCAGAAAUUUGACGCGACCAAGAACAAGAACUAGCAGACAGAAUUUUUUUUUUGUUUUUGGACAAGCGAUGCAAACAGAUUUUGUUUGUGUUUUUUUUUUUGACUAACAACGGACAGAUUUGACCACGGACUCAACAACAAGAACAACGACCAGAAUUUCGUGACAACACAAAGAAAGGAAACGGCACAACAAGCAACAAUGCUAAUGAACAGAUUUUUUUUGUAAAACAAGGCAGCGGAAAAUAAGGAAAACUAAGACAAGACUACGGAUAUAACGAAAGAUACCUCUACCAAAGCUCUGAAGCCAACUGAUACGUUCCUCGAUCAACACGUUUCGAGACACGUAGCACGUUUGCCCAAGGAUCUAGCGAGGAUGUCCAACGCUUGGAAUUGCGGGAUCUAGAACCAAACGGACGACACGAUUUGAUUCAAGACGGUAGACGACACUCCGAUGAAGGUGAAUACUCCAGGGGAAUAGGUCGGUAGAACAAUCUAGGACAGGACGCAAGACUGCUCAAAACCCUUGCCAAAGCAAGUAAAGGGGUCGAAUCUCUCUCUCAAGAAGAAUCGAAAAUAUGCAAAACUUUAUUGAUAAAACGACUACUCUUAAACCUUACAAAGCAAGCCUAUUUAUAGGCUAAAGUGACUAAAACCCUAAAGGGGCUAGGUAAAGGAAAAAGUCGGCCUAUGCUCUUGGAACAAGAUGGGCCGGCCCAUGCUCUUACUUAAUCAUUAACUAAUUGCUAACUAAUUGAUGGGGCCUAAGGCCUUAUUCUCUUGGUGGCCCGCUUGACUUUUCGUGGGCUUGGAUCAUGGUGUAAAUGGCUCGAUUGUCUCUCUCCAAGCCCUCAAUAUCUUUGUGAACUCCAUGUUGGUCUUGCACAACUCUAACCGGAACUUGGAAUGAUUCUUUGAAUAGCUUGGCCCAUGCAUGCGUGACUGGGCCCAAUGGGACUCGAAACAUGUAAGUCAUUGCGUGGGCUUUGACCCGUACACACAUCAGUACUGAUACGUUCCUCGAUCAACACGUUUCGAGACACGUAGCACGUUUGCCCAAGGAUCUAGCGAGGAUGUCCAACGCUUGGAAUUGCGGGAUCUAGAACCAAACGGACGACACGAUAUGAUUCAAGACGGUAGACGACACUCCGAUGAAGGUGAAUACUCCAGGGAAUAGGUCGGUAGAACAAUCAUAGGACAGGACGCAAGACUGCUCAAAACCCUUGCCAAAGCAAGUAAAGGGGUCGAAUCUCUCUCUCAAGAAGAAUCGAAAAUAUGCAAAACUUUAUUGAUAAAACGACUACUCUUAAACCUUACAAAGCAAGCCUAUUUAUAGGCUAAAGUGACUAAAACCCUAAAGGGGCUAGGUAAAGGAAAAAGUCGGCCCAUGCUCUUGGAACAAGAUGGGCCGACCCAUGCUCUUACUUAAUCAUUAACUAAUUGCUAACUAAUUGAUGGGGCCUAAGGCCUUAUUCUCUUGGGGCCGCUUGACUCUUCGUGGGCUUGGAUCAUGGUGUAAAUGGCUCGAUUGUCUCUCUCCAAGCCCUCAAUAUCUUUGUGAACUCCAUGUUGGUCUUGCACAACUCUAACCGGAACUUGGAAUGAUUCUUUGAAUAGCUUGGCCCAUGCAUGCGUGACUGGGCCCAAUGGGACUCGAAACAUGUAAGUCAUUGCGUGGGCUUUGACCCGUACACACAUCAAAAUGUGUUCAUCACCUGCGCGUUCAUCCUGAACUUCAAAAGGUCUAUCAUAAGUUAGGUUAUCUCAUAAUCAUUGUUUCAUAAUCACAAGACAAGAAUGUCAAACCGGUAAUUGAAAAAAAAAAUAAAUCAGUAUACUAUUGUUUCAUUAAUUAGCAAAGGAAAGUGGCAACUUUUAAGAUAAGUUAGCAAAAUAAUGCAAUUCUUAUACAGAUGGCUGUACAGCUGUAGAGCCACCCUUUAGUAUAUUGGCAGAGUAAAAAAGGAUCACAAUUUAUCUUUUUUCUCUGAAUAAGUUAGAAUGAUCAUUAUUUACACAUCCAAACUCUGGUUGGUGCUAUGGCUAACGUAUAAGCAACAUUCUUAUAACAAAAAACAAACAAAUGCGAGUCAAAUGGGCUAGGAUUGGAAUAACAACGGAAUUCAAGUUUUUUUUUUAUCGAAAUUCAAGUUAAUAGAACAUAACAAUGUAAAAGAAUUUCAUUUAGGAAUCCAUCUUCCUCAUUCUUUGUAUUCCAACCAUAAAUUUAUGACUUCCCAUCAAAAUUAUUCAGGAUAUAUAGUUACUAGUUGACAUCAAGAAGCCCAAUCAAUGAUAGCGCAUGCUCAUAGAAAUAAAGGCCAUGAUGCAAGCAUCCAGACAUUUUACAUGGGAUGAUAAUCAACCAAGCAAUUAAUUAAUAUUUAAAUUAAUGCCACAAGUAUACCAUUUCACUUUCAGAAGAAAGCAGAAAAAUACAAAUAUUUGUGCACAAGGUAUAGUGCGUCAUUGAUAAGAAAGUACACUCAAAUCGGUGAGGCCAAUAAUGAAGAAUCCAUGUACAAGGGAUGCCCACAAAUGCGCAAUGCUGAGAAGACUAUCUCCAGUGGUCGUCUUCGACUGCAGUGAUUGGAUUUACUGGAUUUGAGCCAAUUUCGAUGUCAACCACGAAAGAAACCUUACAAUCUCACUCAUAACAUGCAUAAAUGAGAGUAGGUGUUCAAUGGUGGGAAAAGGCGGAGGAGGAAGAUCAGUAAGAGGGGAGACGAGGAGUCGGCAAUAGGAGUAUAGGUGGAGCAGGCAGGAGUGAGUAUGGGAGGAGGUGGAGGAGAAAGAGGCAGAGAAGUGGGAGGCUUACAUUUUUUUCAUUUCAUUUUUCAUUGAUCAUAUAAAGACCCGUUUUACUAAUUUAAUUCAUCUAGGAUCCACGUACUAACCCCAUUAUGGGGUGAAAUUGUGGAAUUAGAAUUGUAAUUCUUAGGUCUUAUUAAAGGAUUUGAAUUUGUAAGGUGCGCCAUUCCAAUUCUAAGUCUCCAAUUCUUUCACGACUCGUAAUCAAUGUAAGGUGCACCAUUUAGUUGGGCUAGUUACCUAGUUUGCCCGUCAUCUUAUAAGCAAGAAUCCAAUCAUGCCAAUAUGACUAAGGUUAAUAUUAUUAGAAUUGGAGAUGAUUUCGAAAGUAAGUUGAAGUUAAGUUAACAACUAGCAUUGUGAGAUCCGUGCCACAUAGGACGAAAGGAAAGGAUGAAUAGUUUGGAUAUGAACUCGUGACUCCGCUCAAGGGUCAUUAGACCAGUCCAAAUCUCACAUUAGAGCAAAUUUCACAUGGUCAAGUCGUUUGUUGGGGAAUAAUAUUAAAGAUGCUUUUGAUGCUAUGGAAAGAGCAUCAACUAAAGGUUUGGGGGAAUGAUAUUAAGAUACUUCUGAUGCUAUGGAAAGAAUAUUGAGAAGAGUCCAGCUUCAGAAUUUUUCAGGAAUUUAGUUAAAUUCAUUUCAGACAGUUGAUAGAUUUUUGAGGCUACAAUUUACACAUUCAUUUCAGACAGUUGAUAGAUUUUUUAGGUUACAAUUUACACUUUAAAUGCAUAGUUGUAGAGGUGGCAAUUUGGAUUGAGAUCUAUUUAUCCAUCCAUAUAAUCCAUAAUUAAAUGGAUUUGAAUUAUCCAUUUAUAGUAUUGGUUUUAAAUGGUUGAUCAAAGUAAAACUAUUAAAUUAAAUGAAUUUACAUGAAUUAUCCAUAAAACAUAUAAUCCAUUUACUUAAAAACCAAAUAAAAGAAACGGAAGAAAUGAAAACUAAAAAUGGACCCUCGAGAACUGAUUAAUUAUUGAUCCAAUGCCAAGGCCGGCAGCUUUUGCUAUGAAGAGCUUAUUUUGUUACAGCCAACCGUUCCACUGUUUCACCUAAGCUAUGCUGACGUAAGUAGCUCCACCAAAUGCUCUAUUCCCACCCCCUUCCGUUAUGAAGCAAUGGAUAAGCACACUGUAGGACUCAAUUACGCUUAUUAUAUUUGAGAACUUUGUCCCUCUUUCUUCUCUUUGAGAGGUGCAAAUCACAUAACUGCUGUCUGCAGGAAGUUAUAAAUCUAAGUAUUUUGUCCUCUUUCUUAUUCAAACACACCUAAAAUUUACAAGUAUAUAAAAAAGUAUCUUCAUAUUACAAGAAAUAAUAAUACAAGAAAAAAGUAACCAAAAUAUUAAAAUGGAUUAUAAAUGGAUAAUUGAUUUUAUUUAAUUCAUUUAGAUCCAUUUAUUAAAUGGAUCUACAUGGAUUGGAUAAAUUUCAUCUACCAUCCAUUAAGUCAAAACCAAUUGUGAACUAUUUAUCCAUAUUGCCACCUCUACAUAGUUGUGAUGUAGUAAUUAGUACUUUCGAUUUUCAAUUUCAUUCAUUGCUUCAUUUUUGGGGGGGGGGGGGAGGGGCUUAGAUAUUGUAUAGGACACUCGGUAGACUUCUUUCUUUUUCUCUUCCCAAUAAAUAUGUUGUAAUUUAAUUAUGCUUCAUAGAAGAGUGCGGAAGGAAAUAGAAUAUGAAUCUCUAAUUGAGAAAAGUUGGAAGAAUCUUGGAAAGAUUUAGUAUUUUUUUGUUAAUUUCUUUUUUUUUUUAGAUCUUUAAAUUUAUGGUCCUAUACUCUUAUUGAAUUUUCUUUUUGGAGGAUAUAAUUAAAGUUACAUUGGCUGUCUAAGUCGCGUUGCCAUCAAUACAGUUAGUGGUGAAAAUUAAGGCAGUUCGGAAGAGAGAUUGGAAGGCGCAAAAAGAUGGUAGACAUUUGAUUCCAAACGCACUGACAAAGUAAUUGACUAUAUUGAGGUGGAAACGUGUAAAGGUUUGGAAUCAAGUGACACUACUAUUUGACUGUUUUCCCUUUUGUCUUUCCAAAUAUGUAUCCACUUGGAAAUUUCUUGUUUUCAUACUUUGUCCCAGCAUAAGAAAAGGAUGCUAACAGCAAGUGAUGUCCAAAAUGAAAGAAAAGAAAAAGAAAAAGUUAGUUGUAGUAGGAUUCAAAAUAUAAAUUAAUCCACAUUGUCUUUUUAUUAGUACUAUAAAGAAUGUUCCAACAAUCGCUUGAGUUGGCCAAAAUAAUAGCAUUAAUGUCAUAUUUUCUUGUCAACUAGGAUUCGAAUUUCUUCUGAGAUAUUUGCCCGUUGCACAGAAUUUAUCUAAUACGUCUUAUCCCUCCAUGUGCUUGGCGAGCUAUUGCACGAGGUGGAGUUUAUCCAAUGCGUAUUCUCGGACAGCGAUUGAGAUGGAUCCCUUGUCAAAAAAAAAAUCAUAUGAUAUACAGAAUCCUAAAUUGAAAUGGAGCAAGUGAUAACAUAUAGUUUGGUGCAAUCUAUUGGAAAGGAUAAUUCUAUUGGAAACCAGAAUGAUUUACAUGUUUUAGUUGGUGCAAUCUCUAAAUUAAUCUUGUGCAGGAUCCUAAAAUUACGGGCUAAAGGUGCUUUCAAUCUGGCUUUAAUCGACCCCAUUGUCCUACUUUGCCAAAUUUUGUCUCCGCAAUUAAGGAAUCCGGCCCAAGUUGAUGAUGAAGCUGCUCAGUUGUGGGCUCUAACACUGCUGACAUUUGACCUUUUGACUAACUCUGCCAAAGAUCCAUUCCUUUACAAAAAGAGAAAGAAGAAACUUACUUCACGUGUAACAAUUUUAUGUGAAAUUUAAAAUAAAAUUGAAUGUUUCAGACUACUGCAACAAAAAAAAAAAUUUGUUUCAGACUACUUUCAAAUCCUUCCAUAAAAUGCAUCAGAACGAAAGUUUAAGCCAAUUCUUUUUGCCAAAACAACAAUAAACUGAAAAUUUAUAAGCUUUAUCUAUGGGUUGAAACCCAAAAAAGGCAAAAAGAAAAGGAAAAGAAGUUGAGUUCUACUGGCAUAUAAUGGGAAUGACAGGAAGGCUAUUUCAAACAAAAUAUAUUUCAUCUGUUCUGUACGUUAAAACUUUACCAUUCAGGGGUCCAUGAUGUCCCAAUUCUUUUUCUUUGAUUUUGAAGUCCAAAUUUUCUCUUUGUGGUAUGGUUUUUGGCAGUGGACCAAAAUGAUCCUUUUGUUUUUUCCAAAAACAAAUUUAAUCCCUUUUACUGGAAAAUGAUCCAAUGUCGCACCCUUAUAAUUUCAACAAAACUAAAUUGAACAUUCACUUAAUCACAAUGGGCCUUCUAGUAUUGUACCCAACUAAAUAUUUUGCAAUUUUCACCAUUUAUGGUAAAAUAAAUUCCCUUAUAAUAUUUUUUAUUUUAAGGUGAUCAUUGAAUAACUUUUUAGAGGUGCUAAAACCUUGCCUAAUUUCGUGCAUUAUAAUAACAUUUAAAAUUUUAAUGUUGUUGUGGAAAUCCAUUAUUUGACAAUAGAAAAAACAAUGCGAUGUUUAGGCACCAGGCUGAAAGAAAUUCAUGUUUCCAAUAUUAUUUACAGUAAUUGAAUUAUAGUUCAUCUAUUUAGUGAUUUACUUAAGUUUGGAUUUUUUUAUGCCCCAUGGUUAAUAUAUUAGAAUUUUGUUUUAAUAUUAAUUAGAUAAUAUUAAUAUUAUAUAUUUAGUGAUUUACUUAAGUUUGGAUUUUUUUUAUGGACCAUGAUAUUGGGAUGCUUAUAAUUGCCUCCAAAUCCUGCAUUAAUAUCUCCGCUCUCCUUUAUCUAUCCUAGCAUCAUAUAUAUUAUAUAUAUAUAUAUAUAUAUAUAUAUAUAUAAUAAAGUCGUAUUGUCAUUCUUAUCCCUUCAUGUUUUCUCUUUCCUACGUGGCUUAACGAGACAUCAAGUAGUUUCCUACGUGGCUUGCUCCUUUUUUUGUUUGGAUUUAUAUCAAUUCUUAUUUCCUAUAAGAAUCAUAUAUAUAUAUAUAAUAAAGUUGUAUUCUCAUCCUUAUUCUUUUAGUUUAUCCUUUUCCUACGUGGCUUAUCGAUAUAGCAAGUAGAUGCAACACGCUCUAUAAGUUAAACCCCUAAUAACUUACGCUAUUCUAUCCCUCUUUUUUCUCUUGACUUUACAAUUCUAGAUAAUCCUUCCAUAAUUAUCUCUUCCAUUCUCUCACCUUUUUCUCCUUAACCCUAAUCGUCAAGCCUAAAAUUUCCUGGGAUUAGUAUAAAUAAUUUUGAAUUAUGUUUUUAACUCUCUCUCUCAUCUUCAACUCAAAAGUUCGAAAUAUCAAUUCAAAUAUUAGAUUAUCUUUAUCGGAUUUUCACUAUUGAAGAUGCUCUACAUUUUUAGUCAUAUAUAUGGUUCUCGAUCUAUUGGCUCAUCACUUUAUCAAAGCGCGCAGAGCAGUGUUUACACUUUUUCACAAUUUUUUUGGAAAGUUUUUUUUUUACUUCAAUGCAAGGACCGGAUUUUGGAAUUUCGUUUUAUUCCUAUCAAUUACAAGGACCGCAUUUGGACUUUGUUUAUGCUUGCUGUAUGUGGUCUGUAAUUUCCUACACCUUCUUCAUAGCUAGAUCUGAAUUUGAAUUUUCAAAAUCUUCAAAAGUUACAGUUUGCUUUUUAUUUCUAACAAGUUUUUGUAAUUAAUUUGUUAUUUCAAUUUAUGGGAUUCACUCUUCAAUUCAAGUAGAACACAUAUUGUUUUUUUGGUUAGUGAUUUAAAAGUGACCUUUUAAACUAUGUGUUUUCACACGAUUUUUUAAUUGCCUUUGACAAUUUAUUAAUUGUCUUCAACAACGUAUUAAUUUUUUUUUAUUUUCUAGCUUCCUGGGGUUAAAAAAAUUUUGUGCUUUUCAAUGUUUUUUUUAGACUUUGGUAGAAAGCUUCUAAAGAACAAGAAGGUAUCACCGAUUACAUAAAUGGCAAGGCAUCAAGUUCAUUAUCAUAUAACAGUUCACGUAAUGCAAUAUACAUCAGACUAUUUAGAUUUUUUAUGUUUUUGACUUAAUAGCAAAAUACAUCUUAUGUUUUCGUUUUGGUUUCUAUUAGCCAUGAACAGAUUUAGAAGGUUGCUGUGUUCCUAUGACUUGAUUGAUUCUGAAUUUUUAUCUCUUUUAUUAAUAUUUCAUUCGGUUUCUUUUCUUUUCACAUUAACUUUUAAGCCAUUUAUAUUAAGUACCAAAAUUGAUGUUUUGGUAAUGGGUUGGCCAUUCUUUUAUUUACAGAAGAUCAGCCAAGUUUUGAUCUUCCCUAUUUUCAAGUUUUUGAAUGUCAUCAUAUUGUUGAUUUUUUUUUUUGCAUUUUCGAAUUAUUAAUCACUGAAUUAGAUGUUUAAAUUUACAUUAUAAGACUAUUUUUGAAUAACAAUGUAUUUAAGAAAGGUUAUAAUAGAUUAUACAAUAAAUUUGUAUUUUAUGCAAAUAUUUUGAUGAAUUACACUAAAUAAUUUAUUAUUUUUAGACAAUUUCCAUUCAAUGAAUGGGUACAAAACUAGUUAGUUAAAAUAGUAAUAUGGUCAUAGAAUUUCAAGGACCAUAGUGAUUAAUUUUCUAAAUACUAGGGGCUAAAUUUUUUUUUGCGUCAAAAUAAAAAAAAAUCAUUUUAACCCACAUCCUAAUUAUUGAGCACCAAAAUUGCAACUCUUCCUUUCUGAAUUCAAAGACUAGUACUCUAUUUUCCAUAUGAAACACUGAGGACCAAAACGUCGUUUUAGAUGACUAUCAUUUCCUUGCACACCCUAAUCCCAGUACAAGUUUACAACAAAUUCAAAGAAGCCUUUGUCGUAGGUGGAGUCAAGGACCCAUCUUAAAGUGAUAAUCCAUCUUUUUGAAUAAACAAUUCAAAAGUGAAUUAAAGAAUGAUUAAAGGUAAAGGGUUGCUGCUUAAGCUUCUCAAUCAUAGCAUGCAGUGAUUGGCAUUUGAGGCGGGCAUAAGGUGUAAACUACGAGGGAAGUUAACAAAUAUUCGUAGAUCCUAUGCAAACUAAGUUGCACUUCAUCGUUGUACAUAUAAACAAAUCUUAAUUCUGAAAUAAAAUUAAUAUGAUCUAAUAAAAAAAACAUAGUAUGGAUUUAUAUUAUUUUAUUUCUUAUACUUUAGGCACGUGUCAUGAUGAGGAAUAGAUUCAUUAUUUUCUUUAUGCUUCGGUGCAUAUUUUAUAUAGUUUUUUCGACCUUUGUCCACAUAUUGUAAAGGUUUACUACACACUUGAUCUUUUUUGGAAGAAAAAGAACAAAAACAAAAUAAAAAGGAAAAACGAUUAUUAAAUAUUUAAUAAGACUUUUUGACUUGUAUCCACAAGGCACUGGUUAACCAGUUCCCACUUCUUUGAUUUUCAAAGAGGUAAAGUUAAUCCCAAUUCUUCUAAAUAUAUGCAAGAAUGUUGGAAAAUCAUAAAUUAGAACUCUCUCACUACCGUUAAAGGAAUCUGAAAUUGCGUCUUAUGUUGUCUCUUACACACACCUCCAGUCUGGAUAAACCAUGACACAAGCAAAUAAAACCAAAGGAUAACAGACCAACAAUUUUUUGUCAUUUUCCGCAUGGAAUUUUUAAUGAGUAACCCGCAAAGAAAAAAAAUCCUAAAAGGAAAAGGGUAGAAUAAAGAAGGCUACACGAAAGUACAAUCCCAUGUCCAUUAUAAUUGAUUAAAUGUAAUACUCUAAAUCAAAAUGUUUUAAUAGUAAUUAUUAUAGAGUUUAAAUCGUGACAUACAAGUUCUAUCAUCACAUACAAUCAAGACCAUUUUCUAUUACGUGUCUUUAGGCCACACAAUAAAAGGAGGGGAUGGGUUCACAAUAAAAGUUAAUUUUAUAUACUUUAUCAAGGUUGAAUACAUAAUACGUAUGUAAAAUUUGAAUUUUAAAUUUAAAUUUAAAUGAAUUAUCAUACAUCUAACGAUGAUAAUACUAAGUAUAUACAGUUUGAUACACCAACAUGGAGGUCGAACACAAAAUACCCCUAGAAAAGUCAAAUUAUAAAAUGUUAUGCGUUGAUCCUUAGCCAAGUUAGAGCUGCAAAAUUUGAAGCCAUUUCAUCUACAUUUCGUGAUUUUUUUGUUUUCUGUUUUUAUCUUAAGAGAGACUUCAUGUCCUAUCAGGACGAAGGCGAAAGAGACGAUGGCUUGAGAGUUGAUUUAGGGACUUCAAGCUCAUCUGGUUAAUGUCCCUGCCAAGUUAAUUAUUUUUAACUUAAUUGGGUGAGACAUCUUGCAGAUUAUGCUCUAUAUGCCAAAGCCAGUUUUUAAGUCAAUUCAUUUCCUUUAUUACGUGGCACAGUUAAUCGACAACAGUAGCACCAUUUUCAAUCAAAAUAAUUUCUUUUAUUUGGAAUAGACAAUUUAAGAAAAUUUAUGAAUCAAAUACUACUUGAAUCUUCUCUGCCAACUGAUCAAUCAAAUCAAAUGUCAUAGUCAUUUUUCUCUCAUAAAAUUAAUUUUUUUUUAAAAAAAAAAUUCUCUCUUCUAACAAAUUAUCUCUUUAUUUGAAUUUUUUUUGGACCAUAUAAGGCAGGAAAGUUUAUUAAAUUUUACAAUCGACAUAUUGGUGCAUGCAAUAAUUCUUUGUAUGGUUGGAUAAUGUAUAUUGAUUAAAUUUAUUUCUUCAACUAAAUUUUUUGUUAAGAAGUUCAGUUUUUCAAUACAAUGUCUCUUCAUGAUGAAUAAUCACACAAAUAUGGCAAGAUAAUUUUUAAUUCAAAGUUAAAAAUUCUUCUUAUGAUAAGAAUACAAUGUACUCGCACAAGGCUGGGAUUUAAACUCACGACGUUAGCAAAAGAAGUACUUUGAGGGUGACUGACCACCUAGCCAACUGAGCUACAUAACUAGUUCAAGUUAAAUAAUUUUUUUAAAAAAAAAUUAUAUAAACAAUGAAAAUACCACUCCGAUUAUUUAUUGUAUUUUUUUCCUGCUGAUUAAUGCAGAGGUUAAACAGAUACCUUUAGGGUACGUUUGGUUCUACAGAAUUGGAAUUGAAUUAGAAUUGGAAUUCUAUAAAAUUUGAAUUCUAUGAAUUAGAAAUCCAAAUCCUUGCAAUUCUUUCGUUUGGAAAAUACAUAGAAUUGAUACGGAAUUUAUUUGGAAUUCCAAAUUUUUUGUUUGGAUGAGAGAAGAAUUCACUAGGAAUUAGAAUUGUUUCCAACUAAUAUUUCCUUACAUAAAAAUUUCUUUUUUUACUAUAUAAUAAUUUUUUAACAUUUAGCUAAUUGUUACUAAAGCCUUAAGGAAAAAACCAAUUAGUACCUUUAAUAAUUUAUUUUUCUUGCAUUUAACUAAUUGUUAAUAAAGCUUUAAAAGAAAAAAAAAAUUAGUUCCUUUUUUGCAAAAAUAAAAAAAUUCUUUUUUUUAAAUUAAAUUAUGUUAAAUAAAAAAUAAUUGUAUAUUCUAACUUAAAAAGUAGUUAAUAUUUAUCGAGUUAAAACCUUGAUACAAAUUUAAAGUUAAGAACUUUAAAUUUUAGAAAAUCAAAAGCCUACUCUAUGAUAUGAAUUGGGAGGAAAGUCAUAACUUGUACCUAUUAUAAAUAUUUGAGUUUUGUAUCUUACAAGAAAUUUCAAUAGAUGAAUACACAAACAACGUGUUUUUAGCCAAAAAAAAAAGAGAAAGAAAAGCACAGUUAUACAUUGCUACUAUUUUUCAAUAAAUGGCCAUUCUAAUAUUAAAUUAAGUUCGAAUAAAUUCCUAUCAAAUUUCAACUUCCAUGAUGGCCUUGUCUAAUUUGAUAGUCAAUAAACAUUGCUCGUGCUAAAGCAUUCCUAAAUUGUGUCCACUCGCUAGUUGGUUGUACUGUUCGAAUUCGAUUCUCGUUAACAGCAUUUACACCACCAUCAUUAUUUGGACCAUCAUCUUCCAUUCCAUUUUCCUCAUCUUCAUCAUCAACCUCAUGUUGUACUCUUCGCAUCUCAGCAUCAACUUCAUCCAAGUAAGGGUCAUUUGGUUGUUCUACUCGAAUAAGAUUAUGAAGGAUGGCACAUGCAUUAAUUAUCAUGACAUGAGUCUUAACAUCAAAAAAAGAUGCAUCUCUCAAAAUGGCCCACCGCUUCUUGAACAAACCAAAUGUCCUUUCAAUCACAUUUCGAGCAAUUGAAUGUCGAAGGUUGAAUAACUCUUUAAAAUUUUGAGGCUUCCUCCCACUAGCAGACCACUCGCUAAGAUGAUAUCUAACUCCCCUAUAUGGAGCUAAGAAACCGGAGCUAUUUGCAUAACCCGCAUCAACAAGAAAGUACUUGCCUGUAAUGUUAGACAACAAAUUAUUACUCAUUUAUAGUUAAAAGAAAAAAAACACAUGAUAUCUAAUUGUCACAUACCCUUGGGAACAAUUAAUGGAUCUGAUCUAACUAACGCAUCCCGUAGAACUCUACUAUCUGCUGCAGAACCUUCCCAUCCAGGCAAUACAUAUGUAAAUCUCAUGUCACGGGAGCAUACACCUAAAACAUUUGUUGCUAUCUCAUUCUUCCUAUUCCUAUAUCUUCCUUGAUCUCUAAGAAGAACAUGUACUUUAACAUAAGUACCGUCUAACGCUCCAAGACAAUCCUGUAUUAUAAACAAAAUAUCAUAAGUUGAUGAAUCUUGUAGAUAUUAUCUUCAUUAACAAAUAUCAAAAAAUAUUGAUUACCUGAAACCAUUCCCACUUUUCAUGCUCGUAACCUUCCAUUUCCGUUUCAGGCUGGAUAAGAUAGUGUCUCCCCAAUUUUAUGAUAGCACAUAGAACUAUAUUAAAGUAUCGACUAACUGUCUCACCUGAUCUUAUGAAAUUAAAAUUGACAGUGCGAUUCUUAAAGUUAUGAGCAAGAACAUAGAGAAACAUUGCAACUGCUUCUUCAACAGUAAUAUUUCUAGUAUCCCUAACAAAUGAAUAUUUAUGAUCUCAGUGUCUUGAAGGAGGAUACUUUAGCUUCGGAUUCAGCAUUUCAUCCAUUAUCAGUCUUAAACAUGUGGAUAUGAUUCACGAAGUCAGGUUCUUAGCCAAGGCCACUUCCUGAUGUUUAGAGGUCGAAUCAUUAUAAUGCAGUGAAAUUUUAAACUUGUAGCAGUAAUUUUUUGUAGACAAAACAUUCUUGAAUGAGAUAAUUUUUCUGCCUGUAAUGUGAAUGUAGAUCCUAGAAAUUAUCUCUUGAAUAUUCAAUCUACAAAGAACCAUGAACAAUGUAUUACAAAGCCACAAACAAAAGGGGGAAAAAAAACUGGAUACUAGUAGUUUUUUUUAAUGUCAAAUUCAAGAAAUGUUAUGUAAAUACAGCAUCAGGAGCAAGCUUAAAAGUUCAAAUACAGAGGCAAAUAACUACUUUAAUCAUUCAUUACUAAUUACAUCAGAAGUGAAUCAACGAAGUGAAAUACAACUCAAUAAAAGAUGCAUUGUCCAAAUAGAAUGAAAUUAUAUAAUGCAGUUCACGUGAUCAGAUUUAGGAAUCACACAAAUGCAAGGAAAGGUAUAAUUAUUUCUUCAAAAUACCAACCAAGAAAAAGAAAAAAAACAAAAAAACAAAAUUGCAGCCCCCUGUAUGCAGAAUGUCUGUAAAUAAUGCAAUCCAGGAUCAGAAUCAUCAGAAUCCCAAAACACUCACUUUUUGCAAUUGAAAGCAAGAGAAGCCUUCGCAAGCUUCUGUUUCUACCGUGAGAGUAAGCGGUAAGCCACUCACUCAAUCCUAAUCAACUCAUCCUUCAAAAAGCCUCUACUAUUCCAUUUGUUAUUAUUAUUAUUUAAUUAAUUUCACAAAUAUUAGGGGAGCAAAUGCGAUUCAUAAGUAGCAGCAGUAAAUUUAUUUUUUCUUUAAAUAAAAAAACAAAUAUCGAUCAUAAUCCAAAUCCCACAACACAAUUCAAAUCGUCGGAUGUCCAGAACCAUCAAGUUACAGAAAACUUCAUUUGACGAAUAUAAUGCAGGAAGAACGUUGAAUGUAAAGGAAAAUGCGCUUACCGUUGAGUUGAGCAGUAAAAGAUAUUUGAGAAUCCUCCCCUAGACGGCUUCAAUAUAUACAAAAUAUUUGAAAAUCCUGCACUUUGUUCGCGAUUGCUGAGGUGAUGGGUAGAUGCGUGGCAGAGCGAUGCCGGAGACGGUGGUGGAAGAGGGAAAAUGUUAGGGUGGAGGUGAAGGGGAUGACGCAGAGCAAUUAGAUUAGAGGUACUUGCGGUUGAGGAAAAGUGUCUAAUUAGAUAGCGAGAGAGGGCCGCUUACCUAGUUGACCCGGUUUUAAUUUUUUACCCGCUAGGAUCCGCGUACUAACCCGAAUAGGAGGUGAAAUUAUGGAAUUAGAAUUGUAAUUCUUAGGUCUUACUAAAGAAUUGAAUUUGUGGAAUUGAUGGCUCAUAGAAUUCAAAUUGAAUUCUAAUUCUCUCACAUAGAUAGCGUCCAAACCGAAGAUUUGGAAUUGAUGCUCCAAUUCUAAUUCUAAGCCUCCAAUUCUAUGGGAACCAAACACACCCUUAUUGUAUUUGCGUAGUUAAAAUAUUCACACUCGAUCUUGCAUUUAAUUGAGAGUAAAGAAUUUGGUCAGAAUUGCAAUCGGUUCAUUAAACCGGCUAGUUCAUUAAAACCCAUUUAACCAGUUGGCCGUUAAAUUGAUUGCCUCCGCUGAAUUUAUGUAAACGGUAUUUUGCACCAAACAGGCAGCAAGCAGACUAGUCGAGAGUGUUUUAAUAUUGAAUGCAUUAUUUCUAAAAACUGCCAAGUAUAACGUGGGGUAUAUGUUUAUUAAAUAUAAAUUGAGGGAAAUGCUAUUUCUCAUUUUAAUUAUAUAGUUUUCAUUAAUUAGACUAUAUGAUAAAACAAAUUGUGAGAGUGCAAAAAAUAAAAAAUAGAGUCUUAAUGAAAUUUUCCUAAUGUUACAUGCUAAGUGAAUAACAUAAAUUUAAAGUGUAGCUAUAAAAUUAAAAAGAAUUUGUUAUUAGCUAUGUCCCAAUCACCGAAAAAUAAUUUUCACUCUAGCCACUACAUACAUAGGUGGUACACCUAAUAGAAAUUCGAGGAGUGACAAGUUCUAUUUCUCCCCAUUUCAAGAUAAAAUGAUUAUUUCAAGGUUUUUUUACACCAUAUUAUAAUUUAUUUAUACCGCAAUUCCAAGUUAUUUAUACACAAAGACAAAUUUGUUUGGAAUAGAAAUUAGUAAGGCCCCAUCCACCACCUAAUAAGUUGGCACCACCAGGCUUUGUUUUUCACGCUAUUAGCUAUAACUACAUUGGAUGGCGAAACUAUAAAAGUUGCUAUGGGAUUUACAUUUAUUUUUCAUUUUCCCUUCCUUCUUCUUCUAUUUUCUUCCCACUCUCUCCAUUUCUUCUAGCAUUGCUUUUAACUUUCUUAUUUUUAACUAAAAAUACGAGACAAAUAGGUAAGUGAACAUUAAUUCCCUAUUAAAAAAAUAGUUUAUUACAAAAUCUAAAUAUUGAAUUUGAAACUUAUUCGUCAGUAUAAAACCUACUUACCAAAUAUUCCUUAAACUUUAAAUAGUUAAUGCAAGAAACGUUUGGGGUCUAUCGUGUUGGCUUGUGAGAAAAAAGUGAAAAAACACUUUUUGUGGAAUAGACCCUUUUACCUCUGCACCGUCUAAAAUUGUCGUGGACUACAAUAAAAGAUGCAAAGAAUGUCAUCAAAAGCUGUAGACAGUAGAUUAUUUGGGAUUUUUUUAAGGUUACUUUGUAAGAUUGCAUAAAUAUGAAAUAAGUGUUUGGAUAGAAAGUAAAUCGUGUAAACUAUCGUUUGGACAGGUGCUCAUUAUUGAAUUUAAUCAGUUGACUUUGACUUUGACAAUUUUGACUUUUACGACUUAAAAUAUAAACCGAUUCACACUUAAUACAGAUACCGUACACAUUAAUUUAUUAGCUUGGAAGAAGAGGCCAUUUUAAGUACACUCCAUCCAUCAAUUGUACUGUUACUAACAAUUAUUUAUCGGUGAAUUCAAAAAACACCUAGUGGCAUCAUCGCCCCUGUGCUGCGUACAUUUGAGUCACUAUGUAGUCUCGCUUGGCCAUCUAUUCUGCAAGCUCUGCAAGAGAUACAUUCAAUGCGAACGGUUGUGGUACUGGACCCCUACUUCUGGCUCUUCAUUUAAAUGCACAUCCUCUGCUUCGAACCGUUGAAAAUGGUCAUCUUCUGGCUGGUGCAUCCUUAAAAAGUUGUGUAGCGCACAACAAGCAAUGACUAUAGUUAUUUGAGUGCUCAUGUAGAAAUUAUCUACCGGACCCUUUAAAAAUUUGAAUCUUUUCUUUAGCACACCGAACGUACGCUCAAUGACAUUUCAAAGCUGAGAAUGCCGAGUAUUGAACAAGCUCUUUGUCGGUGAUUUGGGGCCCACGUUUUUAUACGGGGGCAUGAAGCCAAGAACAUUCCUAUAUGCCGCAUCAACUAAGUAGUAGUUGCCUAAUUGAAAAAGUGAAAAUAAGUUAAUCAAACAUGCCAAGUGACGGGAGUUUAGCAUUUAAAGCAUUUCAUUUAUUGACUUGGAAAAUCUUGAGGAUUAAUUACCAGGUUGCGGCAGUGAAAAAUCGGACGGAUAUGCUAAUGCAGACUCCAAUACUUGCGCAUCAUGUGUACUUUCCUCCCAUCCAGCAUACACAUAGAUGAAGCGCAUGUCAUGGUCACACACUGCCAGAAUUUUGUGAUUGAAACCUGUGCCGAUUUGUAUAUGCCAUUUGCUCGCCUGUCGAGGACACUGAGAUGUGGGUGCCAUCCAUUGCUCCUGCGGCAUCCUAAUAUUCAUGAAAAACACAUAUUAGUCAUUUAGUUUGUAAUAACAGAACAACAGCAACCCCUAUGAUAAAAGCACUUCUGUAUACAUUACCUUGAACCACGGAUAAAAAAUUGUUGAGUUUGCAAUUCGUGGAUUAACUGUAGUCUGGUCACCCAAUCGUAUUAUUUCAGCUGCAAAUAGACACAGGCCUCGGAGCACCUUUUUUAUAUUUCGGUUAAUCGUCUCGAUGGAUCGAUCAAAAAUACUCCCCAACACACGGUGCAUAUGCUUGUGGCUCACCAACAUUAAGGUCAUAGCUAGCGCCUCCUAUAUGGGCACGCGGUGUUGGUAGUUGUGUGGAACGUACUGGCGCUCCACAAGGAGAUCUAAAAGUUGCAGAAAAUUAUCAACUGUGAUACGCAUGUUGUCUAUUGAUCGUCUAUGAUGACUGUUCAGUAAUCGCUCCACCCAUUGUAUAUUCGUGACCGAGCCAUCAUGUUGCGGAAUUGGUUGAUUGUUCCUUAUGUGUGCAAGAGACGGAUGCAUUAACAUUAACGAGGCACUCAUAAGUAGUAAGGCCUCAUCUUCCUCAUCUUGCCUCAUGCGAUCUGAAUUGCAUCCCCUAACACCCCGGCGGUUGUUUCAUGCCAUGAUAAUUGAGUAUAUAUCUGUAUAUAUUUUUAUAAGUGUGUUUUCAUGUGUGUAUAUCUAAUUCCAUAAACUUAUUUAUAUACGUGUUUGUGUAUAUAUAUAUAUAUAUAUAUAUAUAUAUAUAUAUAUAUAUAUAUAUAUAUAUAUAUACAAAAUUGAUAACCAGCACAUAAAAUGCCAUUUACUUAAAAAAACUCAGCACAUUAAUGAUGACAUCAAAGUUUUCAUCCUCGUUUCGUACUAAAAAUGGCAUAAAGAGAUUUGUUUGCACCAAGGACCAAAAAGUAAAAAAAAUUAUGCAGUCGAUGGCUUUUAUAUCAUAGGGAUUAUUUGGAUUUUGCAUGAUACAUAUUCAAAUUGACUAUUUCAAUUCAAUUUUUGACGUUCAAAUUUGUAUAACGCAUAGAGUAUAAAAGUUUUCCAUACAAGAAAGAAAGAAACACAGAAAUUGCAAUUAAGGGUGACUGGGCAGCAUACGUCUGGGUUAGAUUUCAUUUCACUUUUGAAUUUACUACUUACCUAAUGUGCUUGAUAACCACCACGUAUUUUGCAGAUUGCUACACUGAUCUAGUGUCUCUGACAAACUAUCUAGAAGUGCAAAAAUGUGAAAUAUGUUGGUUUUGAAAGAAAUCCUUUAGAUUUUUUUGUUCAACUUGAGCAGUUUGUAACUCAAGAAACCCACUUAAAAACAAACUCCAACAAAUGUGCUAGUCCAAAUAGUUCAUUGUGAGUUGAUAUGAUCAAUUAAUCCAUUUUAAAUAAAUGGGCAUUGCACCUUUAAUUUGAUUUAAGACCCACAUAAAAUUGGUGCAAUUUGUAGGCCGAAAUGUUAGUUGAUUUUUCAUUAUUUAAUUUAAGUUAAUCAAUACCAAUUUAUUUUAUUUCAAUAUUGACUAAAUAAAUUAUUUUUUUAUUUUUUCAUUUUUCCCUAGUAGGGAAGGAUGGAAUUUAAGAGGCCAAGAUUGAGCUUAUGGUCUGUUUGGUUCACAGACUGGAUGAGAUGGGAUGACUCAUCCUUGGAUUAUUAAUCCUGGGUUGAGUUAUCCCGGAUAAAUAAUCCAAGUUAUCUAGUGUUUGAUUGGUUCUUAUAUGUUGGAAAAUAAUCCUAUCUUGUGUUUGGUUGGAGAGUGGAUGAGGAAGGAUUACUAUUUUAAUGACCAAAGCAUCCCUUAAUUUGUAGAUUCUUUUUAAUACAAUAAUUUAAUAUUUUAUAAAAUAUUAAUAAAAUAAUUUAAUAUUUAUAAAUUUUAUUAAAAUAGAGUAGUUUAAAACUUUAUAAUUAUAAAGUAUACCAAGGGUUUUGAUAUAUAAAAAUUUGUAUUCACUCAAACUUAGCCCAUUCAACCCCUUAAAAAUAGAUUUUGACCAAGCUUUUGAACCUAAAUUUGAAAUUCAAUUAAAUAAUGGGCCAAGUUUUGGCAAAAUUGAGGUUAAAUCGAUUAAAACCUAAUUCAUUUAAGAGCUUUCACUGAGCCGAAUUCAGGCUAAUAUAGAAGAUUUUUCUUUGGAUCGGGUUUGAGCUUGUUGAAGUCCUCAUUCACAAAGUCCAAUUGAAAAGAAUAUAUAUUUAUAUAAAUUUCAUUUAGAAAAUAAGGUUAGUAAGGGUAAUUUAGUCCAAGGGCAAUAUAGUCCUUAUAUUAUGAUAUUAGUAUGGCAAACUAGCCAAAAAUUUUUAAUUAGCUAAUAGGGGUAAGUCAAAAUUUUUAAAAUAAUGAAUAGGGGCAAAUUAGUCAAAAAUUUUAAUAGAAUUAGUAAGGACUAAUUGGUCUAUUUAUUAUGAUAUUAUUAUGUGAGAGUAUGGUAAUAUAAUAGCUAAUUUGAAUUUGAAUCAUUCAUAAGGAUAAAUUAGCCCAAAUAUUGUUAUAUUGGUAGUAGGGGCAAAUUAGUCAAAAAAACUUUAAAAUUAAAUAGUAGGGGCAAAUUAGUCCAUUCAUAUUAUAUUAUCAUGUGAGAGUAGGAUUAUAUAAUUAUAAGAGUAUAAUUUGUAUUUUUUGUAAGGAUAAAUUAGUCUAAAAUUUUAUCAUUCUAUAUGUUAAUCAUCUCAGGAUGACUAAUCCCAUCUCCCCCAUGAGAUUAUUUUAUCCCAUGAAUAGGGGAUUAAUUCGAUUAAGUAAGAUGUGUCAUCUCAUAUAUAAAAUGUAACCAAAUAUGGGAUGACACAGGAUGAUUAGCCCAAUCCCGUGUCAUUGUAUGAACCAGACGGACCCUUAAUACCUAGAGGUCCUGAGGCCUUUUUUUUUUCGGUCUACACAUUACUUGUAGAUUCUUUGUAACUCACACAAAAAGGACAAAUAGAAUAUAAACAAGAAUUACUAUAAUAUAGGAUAAGUUAUUAUAAGGUAACAUAACAUCAAAUUUCAGAAAUAAAAAUAUGUAGCCACUGUUCAGUAAGCAUAAUAUUUUAAGUAAAGUCGAGAAAAAUGAAUCCAAGUCUGACUAUCAUCCAGCACAAGAAGCCUCAUUUCCGCUUUUUCAACAUUCAUAGCACACAAAAAGAGAAAGUAAAAUCAUGCAUUAAUACAGUUCAUGAGUAACAUAGAAAAGGUACAUGUCCUCAUAAAAAUGGAGACAUCUAAGGAGCACAAAUCACCUAUUUAAUAUAGUUCAUUGCUGACCAAUGAGAUUUGAUAUACUCAAACAAGGGUAUACCAAUUCUGCAAUUAGACACCAUAUGCAAAUGCAAAAUUUCUAGCCUGAGAUAUGAGCAGCCGCAUUUCCUACUCUGUUGUACACAACUAUACAACUGCACCACCUUGAAAGAAAGCUUGUAAAGAAAGCUAUACAGCAAUUUUGCAGCAACUAGUUCUGUUUCAGUCUCCUCUGUCUUUCUCAAUUACCACAGAGCUCAGCAUUUAACUUGGUUACAGAGUCCGCAAGGGGUAUAACUUGAAGCACAGAUCCAAAACUUCUCCUGAACAACAAAAGAGGAGGUCAGCAAGGAUGAAACUUCCAAGCAUCAGAAAACUGAACUUCAAGAGGUUUAAAUAAUGCAUAACAAAUAUCUACUGUUCAAUGAGAAGUGGACAAACUCAUGCCAUAAGAAAGGAAAGCAUCCACCAAAACUAUUUGGGAUGACUAGAUAGAUCCACAUACAAAAUGUAGGAGUACCUUAGAUAAUCACCAUCCAACCCAGCAACUAUUACAGUCUUGCCAUCACGGUAAGCAGCUUCACAGCAAAAAUCAUAAAGGUCUUCAAAAAAUUGUGCUUCGUCUAUACCAAUAACUUCAAGAUGAUGGUGUACUAUAAAAUAGGACUGUCAUAAUGGUCAGAUGAAAAAUUAUUUUAAGUUUUAUGUUCCUUCUAAAAUAUGUCGUCAUUUAGCAUUCUUGCAAGAUAGUACAUGGCAAACCAAACAUCAUAUGCAUGCUCAGGCAGUUGGUACCAGACCAAGAUGCAGCACUAAUUCUCAAGUACAAGGUCAAUUUCAACAGAGCAUACCUUCUCAUAUGCCUCAGUACCAAGCUUUUGUCUGAAUGAUGAAAGAUUCGCCAACGGCCAGCAUUGCAAUUUUUCUCCAUCAUGUGUAAAAAUUCAAUCCAAUGCGUAUCCAGUGUCCUUAUUUGAUUUUAUAACUGCAACACUGCUGCAAAAAACCAAUUAGAAAAGAAUGAGAAAGACAAAGGCAAUGUUUACGUCAACAAGUAUCCUUGCUAUCCAGAAGUUACAGUUCCAGCAGGUUGAAUAGCAAUGUCAAAUGUACUAAAUCAGUAUCGAGUUCUAAUCUAUUUCCCAAAACAGUUUUGUGUAAAGGAGAUCCCUGGACAUCAUUAUAGUAAUUGAAGACAUGAUGUUCAAAAGCCAACCUUCAUGCCAAGGCUGCCAGCAAAAUACCAAAAGGAAUAAACUAAAUACGCCCAAAAGACAACUGAAUAAAAACCCCAAAACAGCUAAAGGUGACCAGAAUUUAGAAUUUUUUACUUGGUUGAAGCUUGGUUCAAUUUCCAUCAUGUGUAUUUCAAUAUUCUCUUAUAUGGACAAUAAUCAAACGGAGGGUAAGGAAUUUUCUUUUUCGUCUUUUCAAUAGAACAAUAGAACAUGCCGAUUUCCUCUUCAUAUCGUUCCAGCAACGAAUCAGAUAACAGUUUCAGAACACCUACCAAGCCUCAAUUAAGCAUGCCCUAUAAAUUGAAGAUAAAAAGACAGUCACCCAACUUAAAUCAGGAAUUCAGACAAUAAAGAAUCUGUUUUACAAACCACCAGAAAACAGUGAACUUGAGUUAUGAACUUUACAUUGACGCAUACAUUUGUUUGUUGACACCGUGCACUCAAGACAAUGCCACUGUUUAACUUCACUUGCUCAAAAUACUUCCGCUUUGAAGUCCUCUAAAACUAGUGCUAAUUAAAUACAGUGUUUUUUUUUUUUUUUUUUUUGUCGACGGGGUGGGGUGUCCGGGUCAAGUCCGUAAAGGCGGCCCGACUAAUCCCCACUCCGGCCCGGUCCAGCGCCCCAACCAGACCUAGCACGUUAAAUGCACGGCGAACUGAUGUUGCUGCGGAGAUUCGACCCCAGGACCUAACGGUCCCGAGGAGGAGGCGCCAACACCAGCCCAUUCACGUGGGGGCAAAUACAGUGUUUAUUCAAUUAACUUAUUUUACACUUUUAGGUAAAAUGUAAUUACAUGACAUAAUGUUUAUCCAAUUUUCAAAUUCAACCUGUGUAUAUGUGGUCAUGGCAUGCAUCCAAACCCGCUCAUGUAAAGAUUAAUCCUAACUUACAUCAUGUUUAAAGUUUAUUGAAUAGCUUUUUCAUUUCUUUUUUAUGAAGGUUAUGAUGAUUUACUUUGAUACAGUACUAUGCAAUUCUUACCAAAAAGAGUACUAGGAAUUGGCCAAAUUCUAUAUCAAACAGGCUAAUACCGUAAACGGUUUAGAAAUUUGUAUUGAAAAAGGAAAAACAAAAAGAAAAGAAAGAAACUUUAUGGCUUCUUUCAAUAUAUCCCCACAAGAUAGUCAUAUCAAGAAAUGGGGUGAGCAGAGUGUGAAAGUAUAAAAUUAUCACCCAUGGCCAAAACAUUGUAUAUUUUUUCAAAAAAAAAAAAGAGUAGUCCAUUUAAAUAAUUCUUUUCAAAUACAGAGCAACCUAGAUCUUCACAACAUCCCAAUUCUAAUGAUGAUUGUAAUAAUGCUGCACAACAGCAAGAAUCAGUUGUAGAUGAGCUAGGCAGACAAUAACAAACAGUUGGGAUGGAUCCAUGGUCACAACAAUCAGGACUUGAAACUGAAUUUGAACAUCAGCAGCAGCCUGAGACAAAAGAAGAACAACCCACGGAUGUGGGAACUGGAAACCAACAGUCGCGGAGGAAGAAGCAAGUUAGAAGGAGAAGAAACAACAAUAGAGCAUCAGGAGAAGAGGCAGCUCCUCAUUUAGAUGAUGUCCAUGCAUUAGAUAAAGACACAGUGGUGACUGAAUUGCAUAGUGAUGCUGGCUCCUCAGAUGAAGAGAAUGAUGAUGACUGGAGGAAUAGGUAUGUUGAUUUCAAUCCGGAGAGAGAUCUAAAAGACCCUAAUUUUGAGUUUCACAUAGGAAUGAAGUUUUGAGUCAGCUGAACAGCUAAGAUUAGCUGUUAGAACAUAUUCCAUCAUGAAAGGAAAACCAGUAAGCCAUACACAAAUGAAAAAAAAAAGGUUUAGAGCAAAAUGCAAAACCUCCUUGCCAAUGGUUUGUUUAUGCUUCAGUUGAGAGGGAACUUGGAAUAGCUGAUUUGGUUGUCAAGAGCAUGAAUAAUGAGCACACAAACUGCAGUCAUGUAUGGAAGAACAAGAAUAUUUCUGCUAAGUGGCUUGCAAACAAGUACAUGGAGAGAUUUAGAUGUAAUGUUGAAAUGCCUCCAAGAUUAUUAAGACAAAUAGUUGAUGAGGACUUCAAAGCUGAAAUUUCAAAAUGGGUGGCAUACAAUGCAAGGGCAAUUGCUAAAAAGGAGAUUCAAGGGAAUGCAGAGCAGCAAUAUACGGACAUAUGGAGAUAUUGUGCAGAAAUUAAGAGGACACACCCAAAUACCACAAUGGAAGUUAUGUUUACUCCCUUCAGACAACCUGGAUGCAACCCAAAAUUCAUGAGACUUUAUUGCUAUUUGGGACCAUUAAAACAAGGCUUUCUUGACGGUUGUAGGCCCAUUAUUGGGGUUGAUGGAUGCCACAUAAAGGCUGAAUAUCGGGGACAGCUGUUGACUGCUAUUGGAGUAGAUCCCAACAAUGGAUGGUGGCCCAUUGCUUGGGCAGUGGUUGAGAGGGAAGCAACUGAACAGUGGAAAUGGUUUUUUGAGCUGCUGAAGAAUGACUUGCAGAUUGAAAAUGGGUACAGCUACACCUUUGUUUCUGACCAGCAGAAGGUAUUAACUCCUUCCCUUUGUAUAUGCACAGUACACAGAUCUGUUUCAAUUUACUAAUGCCUUUUGUUUGUAAUAAUUUAUAGGGUCUUGACCGAGCAUUAUCUGAGGUACUACCAAACAGUGAGCACAGAUACUGUGUGCAGCACCUGUAUAACAACUUCAAGAAGAAACAUCGUGGACUUGCCCUGAAGACAAAACUGUGGAACAUUGCAGCAAGUACUACUGAGGGACUAUUCAAGAAAGCAACAGCAGAUCUGGAAAAAUUUGACAAGGAAGCAUAUGAAUGGGUGAAGAAAGCACCACAUCCCAGUCAUUGGUGUAAGACUUUUUUUCAGAACAUACUCGAUGCGAUAUGUUGGUUAAUAAUUUGUGUGAAAGUUUUAAUGGUCAUAUACUUGAAGCUAGGCAGCAGUCAAUUAUCAAAAUGUUAGAGUCCAUUAGGAUAUUUCUGAUGGAAAGGAUACAGAGAAGGACAACUGCAAUGGAGAAGUUUGAAUUGUCCAUUGGCCCACUAAUCACAAUCUGCUGUUGAGGAAAGUGAACAUCCACAGCAUCGACAGCAGGAAGAAGUUGUACAAAACCAACAACAGUCUCAGAGCCAAGGGGCUCAUCAACAAAGGAAAGCAGGAAAACGAAAGUUAACAGAUUCAGAAAAGGGGCGGAUCAAUGCCAAUUAUGCAUAUUUAGGUAAAGAACCUCCUUUCACUGUUGGAAAUUGGAGUAGAGCUGGUACUAGAAGAGGAGGAACUUCAGCAACAACUACCAGAGGACAACCAAGAGUCAAAAGAGGAUCAAAUUGAAGAGGAAGUAAAGCUAUAGCUAGAUUGAGACAUAAUUCAACUACAUUUUGUCUUUUUGUAUGAAGUUUGUUUUGGAUUUGAUAUGCUGACCUAUUACGAACAUGGUCCAUAUGUACAAACAAUUUAUUUUGUCCAAUCUACACAGAUUGUUCUAUGUUAAUGCAGCACUUUUGUUUAGUUCUUAUGUCUCUGUCAUUUAUUGAUGAAAUUAGUAGAACUGAAAUGUGUUGUUUCAAACCUUUUUUGACACCAAAUAAUAACUAUUUAUUCAUGUGAACAAUACAACUUUUAUACAUCAAAAUGUUUAUACAGAGGGGUACAAAAGGGGCUUUAUAAAGCCAUUUGCCCUUUCCCUUUCAAUAUGCUACCAUUACAACAGAGUAGCUAUUCUUCAAGGAUUUUCAACGAUGCCACAAAUUUGUAGCAUGCCACCAGAAUUAUCUAUUCUCAUAACUAACAUUGCUAAGACAACUAUUAGCCAAGGCAACACUGCGCAUCGAAUGAGUCGCUUAUUGGCUGAUUUGUACUUGGCAAUUUCAGUUUGAAGUGGCUUCAUUUUACC
This 58514-nucleotide long non-coding RNA is filed under the name Coffea arabica (coffee). RNAcentral describes it as "long non-coding RNA (CARA_LNC008254)". The record is from RNAcentral. Lineage: Eukaryota; Viridiplantae; Streptophyta; Magnoliopsida; Gentianales; Rubiaceae.